UGUGCUCCGGUCUAAAAAUCUUCGUUCAACUAUGGUGCACAGAAAAGAAAGGACCAGUUUUUGUGGCCAUGUUUGAUCCCGUUUCAAUAGUAUUUGUGGCUCUUCUAGCUUACUUUGUCCUCGGUGAAAGACUUUAUACGGGCAGCUAAUUUUUCACACUAUAAUGCAUUUACAAGUAAUUGCACGUAUCUAGAGUUUAACUAAUGCAUUUACGAGUAAUUGCACAUAUCUAGAGUUUAACUAAGACAUCAACCCAAUAAAGACUCUGUAUGCAAAACAAAAACUUUGUAAAAUGCAUCCAAUUGGGUUAAGGGAUUACAUUUUCAAUCCACGUUGUGUGACAAGUAGGAUCCAUAUGUUACAUUAAUUUUCCUUGCCAAUUAGUCACAUAAUUUGGUGUGGAAGGAGGUAAUUCUAAAACUUCAUGUGUGGUUUGUUCAGCAUAGUAGGGGCAUUUAGUGUCAUCCUUGGCCUAUACUUGCUAUUGUGGGGAAAAGAAAGUGAUGAAGUUUACAUCAACUCAGAAGAGCACAAGGAUAAAAACAUACAGAAAAUCACUUCAGCUAAGACCGAUGUGCUACAUGAUGAACCAUAAAGAUUAGAUUGGAUCCUUCCCUGGAAUCCUUUGAGAGGGAAUUCACAAAUCGAAAUUCAGAAGCAAUCAAACCUAAAAGAAGAAGAUGAAGGCAGCAAGAAAAGUUGAGUGAGCAAAUAUGGGAGCAGGAGAAAGAUUCCAGAUUCCAAGGCAGCAGAGACUGUACGCUACUAAUUUCUGCUACAAAUUCCAAAUUGAUUAAAGAUUCCAAAUUCACCUUUCCACAAAAUUCCAUCUAUUGUUUUGCUUGUUAUAUUUAUUUGUUUGGAUCUUAUUUAUUCAAGCAAUCCUCAAAUUUCAUCAACUUCAAUAUAUGCACAAUGCAGUUAGAAACAUCAGAAAGUUAAAAACCAACACUGGACCAUCUUACAGAAAAAUAUGGUGAACACUGGACAUUACUAAUUGUUUUAAUCCCAAAAUGCCUUCUAGCUACAUUUAACAAUUCUGACACAGACUUGCCACCAGCCAACCUAAAUCAGGCAAUUGAAACAGUGCUGACAAAUAGAUUGCCAACAAGCAAUAAGAUUGUCAGUAAAUGUAAAUGAAGGCAUCUAAAUUAUCCAAAUACUUGAUGAAACAUCUAAGCAGCAGGGGGCCGAAGUUCAUGAUCACGAGAUGUAUCACGGACCGAUGGAGGUAAAUAAUGCCACAUUGGAACCAGACUAUAGCUAGGAUACAUUGCCAUCUUGCUUGCCCCGGGAUGAUAUGCAGCUGGGACUGCUGGGUGGGUUGGAACAAACCCAGAAGGUGAAAUUGCCAUACCUUUCAACUGCUGCUCCAACCUUUCUUUAUCUGCUUUCAGUACAAGUUUCUCUUCACGGAGUUCAUUCUUCUCUGCCUGUCAUAGGCAAGAGCAGUCAACAAAGUGAGUACUCAAAACUUCUCAAGUAGUAAAACUGAAAUAUAGGGAGAGUUUGAACCAUCUAACAACCACCCUGAUUCUAAAUUCCAAAUUGUACCUCAAGAGUUCAAAAUAACCUUAUGUUUCAUUUGAAAUUGAGGAAUUUUAGUCUAAAUUGAUCAAACCCUACCAAUACAUAAAUAUUUGAAUCUGACAAAAGUUUCUCUUUCACUAAAACGUAUUUUGUACACGGAUUUUAAAUGAUGCAUUGUACCUAGUUAUUUCAAAUUCAAAAUAUUGCAUUAGUCAUUUUGAACAUGUUGUACUUUUUUUUUUUUUAAUGAAUACUCCAACAAAUGUAGAGUUAAUCUUGAAAUUUCAAUCUUGUGUCUUAAUUUAUAUCUGGUCAUUUUGAACAUGUUGUAAUUUCUUUUUAGGAAUACUCCAACAAAUGUAGACUUAAUCUUGAAAUUUCAAUCUUGUGUCUUAAUCCGUGCAUCCGAAUGCACCUUUAAGUAAUUCAUGCCUCUGAUUAAAAACAAAAGAUUGAAAACCAGUCCAUCAUCGCAAUGCAAUGGGAGAGAAGUCAAGGUCAAAGAAAGAACCUGACCUAAUGUUAUGAUGGAUGAAUAAAAGCUUACAAGAAAGUUAUAUAGGGAUUCUACACACUUGAAAGGGGUAUCUUGAAUAGUUACGACUGUAAAUUAUGAUAAUAAAGGAUAAGUUUUGGGUGGAACGAAUCUUUUAUAGAAUCAACUUAUACAUGGUACAAAUCAGGUCAUUGUUGAAAUGAUUUAUUGUAUAAUCUCCAGCCGAGAGGAGCUUGUCCAAGGUAUCAAGUGAAGCAAAAGGGAUGUUUGGAAUUUUACCCGAGUUUACCACAAACCACAUGGAAACAAAUAAUACUUUAAAAUCAAUCAUAAAAUCCUAUCAUAACUUUAAGAUCAUCUGAAGCAAUUUUCUGUUCAUUUUCAAUCAACUCAAAUAAGUUUGAAAUACUAGAUAGCAGAGAUGGCUCAAAAGGAUUAGCUGAAUGAAAAGAAUAUUGCUUUCAAACUCAGUGUUAUUUGUCUUCUCCAACACUAUAAUUGAAUGAAUGAAGAUGAUCUAAAGCCUAUCAUGGCUACUUUCAUUCUGGAGGCUCAUACCUUCAUCUAAAAUCUAUAUAUGAACAUGAUCAUAACUUUUAUUGACAUGCUCUCAACCCAGCCAGGGAGGCAAAGAUUGAAAAUACCAAGAUAUGUUUUUGACAAACUCUGUGCCAGCUACCAAAUGGUCCAAAUCUCAUAAUAUAACUUUUAUUUAAAAGAAAACAAAAAUACUUUAAGUAAAUGAGCUAGGAAAUGAUGAACCUUUAAACUUUUUACUUCUUCAAGUAACUUUUGAUUUGUUUCUUUGAGCUCCUGAGCUUCAGCUCUCAGCUGGGUCAAAACCCUUAUGGCAUCAUCAAGAAUAGCAGGCUUGUCAGAUUUGGGCGGUCUCCCAGGUUCUAAAACAGCGCUCAACUCCACAAACCUGCAAGAAGAAUCAAAACCAACAUGUUUCCAAUCAAAAAUAAAUAAAUAAAAAUAAUAAAAUCUACUCAUCUGAUCAAUACAAAUUAACCCAAUUCAACAAAAAACAAAAAACAAAAGACAAAAAGAAAAGACAGAAAAAUGAGAUUGGAUGCAUGCCUGUCAUUCAAUCUCUCCCUCCUCAACUUCUCACGGCAAGCCUUCGCUCCAGACCCAGGGCAAGAAGAAUCGGUUCGUCCCCUGUUUCAUGAUCAAACCCAACAACCAAAACCCCAUAAAAAUGUUAAAAAGCUUGGCACUUUCAGAACACAGAAAGCAAUUACAUUACUGCAGAUUCACGGGAAAAUGAAAAAACAAGAAAGUACCUUUUGCGAGGGCACUCUUUUUCCGGUGAGAAAGCAGCAGGAACAUCAACAGCAGAGAAUUCGAAUUCCCUAAAUGAAGGAGUGUCAUUAGGCCAAAGGAAAUCGCUGGGCUGGGUCGUCUCGUCGAUGUAAUCAAGAUACUCUAUCCAUUCCUCCAUCAGAGAAUACAUGAGAGACUGAGUCCUAUUCUAUUAAUAUGAUUCCAAAGACUUUUGAUGCACAAUUUAAUUAAUUAAUUAUUUUUAAUAUAAAAUAAAUGCGCACAAAACAAAUUGAGCAUGUAGUUUAUUACUUUAGUUUUUUUUUUUUUUCCUGAAUUAUAAAACCCGAAUUUGGAAAAAAAAAAAAAAAAAAUUAGUGUAUGUGACGGAGAGAUUAGGUGGCCUGCUCACUGGUGUUAUCAAUUCACAUACAUUUUAAGGACCUAGAAUUUUACUAUUUAAGAUUUACAAUUUGGAUAAUAGGACCAUAUGCAUGUAAUUUUUAUGGAUAAAUUGGUAUAUUUGGUGAUGUUUCCUUAGCACCGAAAAUUUGACAUGGGCUUCCAAAUCCUUUCCAACUACUUGUAUUUUGCAUCAAUAAAACUCUUGUUAAUUAUAUACACUCCAACAAAUAUUCUUUUUGUUUUCACGAGAGGUUAUUGAGGUAGGAUCACAAUAGGUGACUAAUGGAAGUGCUAGUAAUCGGAUGCCUAAUUUUAUUCGAAUCAGAUCUCAAAUUGCCUAAUUUUGUUCGAUUUAGGUCUCAAACUGCUCAAUUUUAUUCGAUUUAAGUCUCAAAUUGCAACCAAAUCAAUGCUAACAGCAAGAUUCAGUUUAGUUUGGUGAGGUUUAUAUAGUGUGGUCAUAGAACAACCUUACAUGAAUGAUGAACAUGGUAAUCUUUCUAAAUAAUUAUGUAUAUCAAGACUUGGAACAAUGCAUGUUUAAUCCCAAUACAGUGAAUAAUUAAGAUGAAUCUAAUAGGAACUUUAAAUAAGGCUGCUAUUAAUGAAGAUGAAUGAACCAUGUAAUAAAUGAUCUAUGAACUCUCUUAAUUUUUAGACCAAAAUCCCGCCUCAACUCCUUUCAUAAAUAAUUAACUAAAUAAUAUUAUAUAAUAUUAAAGCGAAGCUGAUACUAUAAAUUGAACAAAGACUCUUAGCAUAAGAGAAGUUUUGAGAGAUAAAUAUGUGGUUUGAUUGGGGUUGGAGAAUUUCAAAUAAUCCAAAUUGAACCCAUUAAAAUUAAGUAUUGCUUGUUUCAAAUCGGUCCUGUAAAGAUUGGUUUAGUUUAACUGGUUUCAACGGUUUGGGUGGCGUUUUACUUACCUACCCCUAGACGGAAGAAAUCAAUCAGGUUUAAUAAUUGGUCUUUGUGGGCCUCAUAAAAGAAACCAUUUUCUAAUACAUUAUAAUAUAGUGCGGAUACAUAUGUCAGUUUUUGAUUUAAAGGAAAAAAAUCAUGUCACAGUCACUCCAAAGUCUAGACCAGCAGCUAAUAGAAAAUAAACCAUUUUAUUGUCAAUGAUCAAAUGAUGAUUUGCGCAACCUUAAUAAAUCAAAAUCACUGCCGAGUUCGAAAGACUAACACGGACGAAAAAAUAAUAGAGAAAUACAAGCUACUUUCCCUCUUGCCAUGUCUAUCAUGAAAAAAUAUUAGCUACCUUCCCUCUUGGCAUGGCCAUCAUAUUCGUCAAGCUAUCAAUUUAAACUACACACCACCCAUGAAUCAAACAAGAAGAUAAAUUAUAAGAACGUUAAAAAAGCAUAACAUGCCAAAAGAGCAUUUAAACUUUGUUCUAUGUCUCUCCAUUCUUCUGUUUUCAUGUCAUAAUGGAUCAAGAAUAAACAUCUCCAAGAAUAAUUGGUACUGACUCAAUUUAGGAGGCAUCAUAUACAACAUCAAGUUUUGAUUUGCCAAACAGAGCCUGGGCAGGUAUCAGGAGGAGCCACCAAAUUUGCAUGGAUUCAUAACUUGUAGACAGCAACACAAGCAUCACUACAAAUCUUGAAUUUCUUUAACACCAAAGAGCAUCUUUGCCCUCCUGAACUUCUUAUAAUUAUAAGUCCAUAAUUAACCACUCAUAGAAUAUGCUCUGCAAAGAUGCAUAGGUGCUCAAGUGCGGUCAUUUUCAGUAGGCCAUAGAAUGAUUAAGAUCAUAUUAAGCUUUGGAUUAAAUUUAAAAAAACACAUAUUAUUAAACUGGAAGAUCACUUUCAGAGUUGAAAUUUAUCUAUCUUGUUCCCAUACAAUGGCAGUUACCAUUCCUUAGAAGCAACAGCUUGAUCAGCACACAGCUUUGAAGCAAAACAGUGAAGAAAAAUUAAAUCACAUGGGCUUCGUUCUUAAGCUUGUCAAUCAACUCGUCCACAGAAGAAAGGAUGACCCCUGCUUUUCUUUUGGGAGGUUCGGUGACUUGAACCUCCUCUAUAUCGGAUUUGAUUUCCACAUUCAGAUCCUCUGGAGUAAAUUUCUUUAUGGCCUUUGAUUUCGCUUUCAUUAUGUUGGGGAGAGUUGCAUACCUUGGUUGGUUCAGCCUCAAAUCAGUGCUGCAAGAGGGCCAAGGAAACAAGUAUUAAUUUAGAAUUUUCACCAAAGAUCAGGUUUAGACAAUAUUCCUCCUCCUUCCCUGGCAUUCAUGUGUGUAUGUGAUGAUCUUUUGGCUGGUUUUCAGUCCGUCACCUAAAUUGAUAUUUCAAAUUUUCUAAUAUAAAAUAUCUAAAGUUGAACCCUUCAAACUAUUGUGACAUCACCAAGUAACAAGUUUUCUUAAAAUAUUAUCAAAAUUAUGUCAUUAUCACACUUCUUUCACAUUUGUCAAUUUAAAGAUAGGCCAUUUUAGACUUUUAGUAUCAUUUUACGUGGCAAGACCAUUUGUCCAUAUUUUAUUUUAAUAAGUGAUUGAUCACUUUUUUUCUUUUAAGGAGAGGGGGGGUGGUGGGGUGCUUAUCUUUCUGAAUCAUAUUCUCAUUUUACGCAUGCUGUCCGUGUUAAGAAAAUAAAUUGUUUUUGGAAACUAAUUUGAUACUGAUACAUAGACAAAAUAGUAAAGAAGUAAUAAUUAUAUAAGUUCAGCAAUUCUAGGAUUACCCUACCUAUCUUAAUUGAACACUUGAGCUUUAUUGUCUCAGCCUUACUUCUUACACUUCUCUGUUUUUGAUGGCCUAGCCAAUUGGUUUGAAGCUAAUCCAAGGUGUAGUAAUCCUAGUCAGCUUGGUCUGGCUUGGAAUUUAAUCUUUACAGUCACUUGGUGGUUUCUGUGGGUGUGUUGUUAUGUGUUCGAUUCUGAUUUUCAAAUUCCUAGAGAACCAAGUAAUUGAAUCCUUCGACUGGCUCAAGGUUAAACGGGUCCUUAGUUGCAGACCUCUUCGUGCCCAAGCUUUAUUGGUUUGGUAACCCCCUUCGUCAAGGUUACUUGAAGCUGAAUGUGGAUGGUUCUAGAUAAGGGCCUGACGAUUAUCUAGAUGCUGGGGGCUAAUCCGAGACUGGAAGGUUUAAGGGCGAACAUCAGCUCAGGUGAUAUCAUUCCAGCUGAACUUUGGGCUUUGCACCAUGGUCUUAAGAUGGCUUGGGAUAAAAAAAAUUUCAAUCUGUUGGUUGAAGUUGAUUCAGCAAUUAUUCUUCGUCUGAUUUUAGGAUCUGUCAGCACCACCCAUCCCUUCAUUGGUCUCGCCAUUGAGUGUAUAUGUUUAAGCAGAGGUGGUUUCUAUUGCUUCAUGUCUGUCCCAUGAUCAUCAGGAACUCAAUUUUGGCAGCCGAUAGUUGAAUUUCACCAGCAGUGUUGGGAAAUAAAUUUUUGCUUAGUGUGGGUUGUCUAGUGUUUUGGGUUUAGGCCCUCCAUACAGGAGUAUAUAUGUUAUAACUAAACCAAGUAAAUGGGCCAGCUUUUUUAUUUCUGAAUCAUUCAUAUUUUUCAAUUUUAUGAUAUUUCUCCGUCCAAUUAAUCCAGUGUGUGUGUACAAAUAAGCAUGGUGCAACAUUUUUAUCGUUGAAGUGCUUUGAAAUUUGGGUGAGGAUGGAGAUAGAUGCAUCCAAGUGUCCAAAAACAAAUACACGAGAAGAUCUGAUACUUACGUGAUCACUGCUGGCAUAUCUAGACACAAAGUCUCAAGACCACCAUCUACCUCUCUGUCCACUGUCACUAUUUGCUUCUCCUUAUCCAGCACAACCUACUGGAAAUAUUUAGUCAUAUGAAGAAAUUCAUAAAAAGUUUUGUCUGAAAAUCAAAAUAGAACAAAAUGCACUAUCAACGCAUGUCAUUCUCUGUGAAAUUCUGUUCAAUGUUAACUCAGAGAGACAGCUAAAAACAUGCAAAGAAGUAACAGUAGAGAAAAACAUAUUACUUCUACGAAUCAUCUACAUUGCUAUAUAUGUAUAGAUUUUAAAAUGGACAUGUGUUCUCAUGAAUACAAAAAUGAAAGGACAACGUAUUUGUUUCAGCUGAGAGGAUAAUGUCUUUGUGAUGGAGUAAAGAGAAGGCAAAUAAGAUUCUUUUUUUAAGAAAAUAAGUGAAAUUUAGGAAUAACAGGGAUUUAAGGAUGAGAAAUAGAAGUAAGUUUUAGUAGAAACAGAACCACAUCUCUCCAAAUAAACCAGGUACUUCAAAUAUCAGAGGUCCCUGACCCAUUAUGUUGUCUGAUGUUACUGAAUUUAAACGAAGACUGGCCAUAAACAAAAGAACUUAAGGUAAGCACAUUGACCAAGAGAGCAACUAGAUAAUCAGAUUGUCAAAACUCAAGAUAACUAACAUGUGACAAGAUCGGUAUAAUGCUUCUAAGGCUCUAACUAUACUCUCAACCACCUCAACUAAUGUUCUUUACACCCUUGUUUCACUUUAGAGCCUUUCAUCUGCAAUUCUUCCUUGUGGCACGCCUAAUUUCAGAAUUCACUUUCAUCAGGGCAAACAAACUCUUGAAAAGCAGUAUUCAAUUUUCCACUAGUUAUUGCCUAUGCUAUAAGGGCCCUCAGAAGCCAUAAGGUAUCCAGGUCAAUAGGGAUAUCUGCAGAAUAGAUGUAUCUCGAAGGCAUAGGGAGAGGAACACCUCCCAAACCUUAACUUCCUGAUUUUAAUUUCUUCAGAAGUCUCCCUGCUGCAGGAAUAUUAUACUAUGGAAUGAAACUACAAAACGGGGUAGUGCUUCUAGCCAGCCAGCUAAGCUUUAUAUUUAUUGACUAUAAUACCAAAACAAAGUCAUUUGUGCCUCCUGGCCACUACAAUUAAAAGGAAUGUAAACAAAAUCCUUUGCUCAGCCCUUAAAAACAAACGAGAAACUAGAAACUGAUAAUCAGCUGCAUCAACAAACUAAUAUUAACUACUAAGCUUUGAGGCUAGAUGGUUCGAAUUCUUAAAUUACCAAUUAAAAGUCCCAAAAACGACAUCUGGAUUCAAACAUAGUCUCAUAUUCGCCUACAUUUAAAACUUCAACUUAUAAUGCAUGAACAUAUUAAUGAUCACGUUCCUCAAUUACUUAAUGGUGUGAAACAAAAUACCACAAGGAAGCAAGCAAUGUAAGUAUGCGAGUUGUAAGCAGCAUAUUUCUUCUCUACUUGAAUGAAUUAGGGCCUUUCUCUUUUUUAAUGAGUGAACAGAGAAAUAAAUAACUAACCUUUGAAGCAAAGGUCCCUUGAGGCCAGUUCAGCAGCCCUGCCACCAUUUGCCCCGUUUGAUUGCAAUCAUCGUCAAUAGCCUACACAUUUACUCAAUAUAUGUCUAAAGGAUAAUACUUUCACUUCUUUAAACCAAAACCAACAAGGCAAACACACAAAACCAAAAUCUUUAAAACUAAAAGAAAAUAGAUUUAAGAAAAACCUGCUUGCCAAGAAUGAGAAGGCCAGGCUUCUCAACCUCCACGAGGGCUCUCAAAAGCUUAGCAACAGACAAAGGGUACAGAGGACCACUAGUCUCCACAUGAAUGCCCCUAUCAGCUCCCAUAGCAAGGCCUGUCCUGAGCGUAUCGACGCACUGCUUUAGACCCAUGGUGACGGCCACGACCUCCGAGGCCAUGCCCGCCUCUUUGAUCCGAAGGGCCUCCUCCAAAGCAAUCUCGCAGAAUGGGUUCAUUGACAUCUUCACGUUCUGGGUCUCCACGCCGCUCUGUGAAACAAAACGAAAUGAAACUGUUCGAUUAGAAAGACAUGAUUUUGAAAUGAAUUACGAACUGGGUUUGUGUUGGAUUGGCCUUGCCUUAUCGGAUUUGACUCGGAUUUUGACGGCGUAGUCGACGACCCGCUUUAUCGCCACCAUUAUCUUCAUGGUUUCUUUCUUCUGCUCGGUCUGCUUGCCAAGAAUGGUGAUUGGAAUUGGAUAAUCCGGUGUGAGAAGAAGAGUGAGGAGAGAGAGUUGGAAACGGCAUUGGCAUUGCUGAGCUAGCAGCUACUACUAGUAGAUAAAUGGUGCCCGCAACUUUCCUAGUAUAAUAAGCUCGCAUUUUAUAUGUGACCAAAUAAAUAAAUGAAAAGCUCUCAUUUUGUAUUUUCUUUUGUUUUCUUCUUCACUAUUUGAAUCCGAAGACAAAUGGAAAAUCCACACGUAUUAAUUUUUUCUUUCGUCGAAAAAUUCACAUGCAUUAUAACAGCAAAAAAUCCCGACCAGGAAAAUAUAAUACAAGAAAAUAUGUACUAUCAUAAAUAUUACAUACUCAGCUAAUUGAGUGUAAAGAGGCCGACUUAUUGUCAUGAUCAACUGAUCUAACUUACAUAUACGCAUAAGUAAUUUAGUUAAAUGAACUUGAUGGUGUUUUAGGUGGUGCUCAUGUUGCCCUAUUUAAUAAUUAUGUUGUAACCCGAUAUCUGAGGUCUAGACCCGUUACUUUUUAUGGCUCAUUCAUGCGUGUGCCCAAGCCCAAGCCCAAGCCCAAGCCCAUUUACUUGUGCUGUCGGCCUCAUCCGUGUUGUGUCCAUGUUGUGUUUGAGCCUGUGUUGAUCACCUCUCUCUUUAUAAUCUCUAAUCACAGACAAAUCUAAUGAAGCCCCACACAUGUCUCAUAUUCCCAGGCAAUAGAUCCAAACCCAUACACACAGAACAUGGCUCUUAGGAAAGCGGCGUUGUUGGCGACCAUCAAUCUUUUUUUGGUAUAGAAAAGUUUAGAGGAGGGGAGGCUAUCCAUCUUAAGGUCAGGGCAUCUAAGGUUUUUUUUUUAGGAUUUUCAAAGGGGAUUUUAGCUCAUUUUUUGGUUUUUACAAAUUAUCCACUUAAAGGGAUUGUCGACAGUGGGACUCGAACUUAUGUCUGAAUAACGAAGAAAACUAUUCAUACCAACUCAACCAAUCCUGUGAGUUACCAUCAGUCUUUUCACGCACACAGUGCCUACUGUUUUAUGAUUCUAUUCUAUUCUAACUCUACAGAAACUAGUCUUUUUGUUUUUGCCAGCUGAUGGAAAAUCUAUAUACUCAGUGAGAAACCAACAGUGGAUUUCAGGGAUGUGAACCCAAAAUACAGCUUUAUGAAACUUUUGUUUGGAGCAUAUUCGAAGGCAGUGAGACAUCAAAACCUGUUCUUGACACCUUACCCAAUCCAACCUCUUGCAACAGUCUUGCACAUUAAUUAGAGAACUAUGCAGGAUUUUGAUAUGAGAUUUGACUUCUGUAGCAACUAUUGAUUGUCGAGAAAAUUAGAAUGCAGAGACUCAAAGGGGAAGAAUAAAAUAAUUCAUUCAGGAUGAACUGGUUUUCUUUUUUGAGUAAAUAAUUGUAGUAUUUGGCGCAGUCCAUCCACUGAAAACUGACUCUAGUAUUUAUUUAUAGAGUUUGUCCGUGACUCAAAUUGUAUGCCAGAAGACACAAAGCACAAGUAUAUAAACAUAGUUGUCAGAAUAGUAAUAGUAAGUAGCUAACUACUGUUCCUGCAUAUCAAAUUGGACCAAUCCCAAUAGCCCUCACUUGAAUGAACUCUGUGGCUUUCCUUUUUGCUAAAGGAAUUGACCCUUGCUUUGUAGAAAACUUCUCUAUCACCUGUAUACAAAGUGUUUAUUACCUGUUAAUCAUGUAACGAGAGAUAUCGACAUAUAAUUAUAUCCAUCACGACUUGCACUUAUUUUCUCAUUUAUUUAACUUUGUACCCAUUAUAAGUUGAGAUUGAACUUUGGCAAAGCAAAAGUGAUGAUAAGACAAUUAUAUACACUCUCACAAUUAGAGCUAUUACGUGCCACUAAUCUCGCCUCAUUGAAGAUUUUCUCGUCACAAAAGUGCAGUGUAUUGAUUUAGUGAAUAUUUUGACACAAACCUAAUUUCAAAAAAAUAAAUCACUAUCUCAUUUUCGUGUAUGAUUGGAGAUAUCAUUUGAUUUCUAGGUAAGUAGGUUAAUAUUCCAGACUGGAAAAUAGUUGGCAUCAUUGAGAGAAGAACCUCACCAAACCAUACAUAUGAACAAACCAUAUAUACUUCCCUUCUACCAGCAUUAGCAUUAUUGAUGAUCACACAUGAAGGCACUUAAUUAUAUGAUUGUUUCAAAUUGAAGAGGACCCAUAUCUGCCAACCUAAUCAAAUGGAAAGGGACCUUCCCCCUUUUACACGCUUUGUAAUCUUUGGAUUCUGCUAGUUGGUCUACACAAAGGGGCCUCCUCCAUGCUAAAUUCCUUUUUCUUUCCUUUAAAAAUAAUUUGAUUCUUGUGGUUGGUCUGUCUUUCUCUGAUCAGCAACAAUGAAAUUCACAAUUAUUCAAUUCAAUAUAGGUGGGUGGGAAAAAGGAUCAUUUGAAAAAAUAAUAAUAAUAUUGAAAAAAAAAAAGGAAUAAAAAGUGGUAAUUUCAGCAAUGAUGCCCAAUCCCACCACAUAAACCAAAAAGAAAUUCCAGUAGAGCUCUAUGGUUUCAAAUUUUAAUUGAAUAUGGUUAUAUGACAUUAACAAAUCCUUUAAUCUCUCAAUAAUACAUCUAAAAUCUCUAUCUCACAAAAAAACACUAAAAACUUGCAAAAUCCCAAGAAGAAAAAAAGAAGGCAGACUAGAAGGAAAAAAAAAAACUUGGCCUAUGUCUCCAAAUAAACAGGAAGAAUUGCACUCCUAGAUCCCCUACCAUUUCCAAAAGAAAAGAAAGAUCUUCUAACCCUACCACUACUACUACAACCUUCAAUGGGACUCAUCUCACUGACUUGCCUGUGCUGCUGCUGCUGCUGCUGCUGCUGCACAGCCUCUUGAACUGCCAAAUAGAGCUGCCUAUCAGCUGAAGAGUCCAUUGAGAAAGACCUCCUUAUGGGUUGGAUUGAGAACUGCUCAUCUUUGCCUCUAAUGUCAAUACAUUCAUCCCCCAUGCUUGUAACCUUGUUGUGAAACUUUCUUGCUAAUUUCUUGGGCACACUUCUGUUUUCCAAUUUCCUUGGUGAAGGGCUAAUAGAAAUCACUGACGCCUCCCCUGAAUUCAGUCUUUCUUGCCUCCCAAGCAUUGUUUGCUCCAUCGAAUUAUCGUUACUCAAUUCGAUCACCACGUAGUCUUCAUCACCGCCACUUAGGCUACCUGCAUAUGGACUUGGAUCUUGGGGUGAAGAGCUUGGAGCAACAAUUCGAUCGAAUGGAAACCGGGUUGUGGUCGAAAUGCUUGUUCUGCAAAGUGGGCAAUUGGCAUUGCUUUGAAGCCAAACAUCAAUGCAAUCAAUGUGAAAAAUGUGGCUGCAAUUUGGUAUGAUCCUCAGCUUCUCAUCUUCUUGGAACUCAUUCAAGCAAACUGCACACUCACAAAAGCUUCCCUCUUCAAAUCCUCUGUUCCUAUCUUUCUUGAAUUGCAACAAUGGGAUUGAUCUGAUCACAGCCUCAUCAAGCCCUCGAGUCUCUAACCCGGGAGAGUAGGCCAUUAGCUGCUCUUCAUCGCGCCUAUUUCGCGAUAAUGAGAAUCGUCUGAGAAGAUCAACACGGUGCCAAUUAAGGCAGCAUUUGAUCACAAAGAUGUAGUAGCUCACAAGCAAGAAAGCUGUGGCUAUAAUUCCUAUUAUGGCAAUGGCUAUAAUGGGGAAACUUGUGUCUGAAUGAUGAACAGGAGCCCCAAAGAUUGUCCUUCCUGGACUUGUUGUUGGAGGAAGAGCUUGUGACAAAUGGAUCAAGUAGCUUUUGCUUACAAGAUCCAUGAAAAUGGAGGCUCCUAUGACCAAUAAAAACUACUUGGGUUUUCUUAGAUCUUGAAACUUGUACAACAAAAAUAUGCAGACAGAGAGAAAAUACACAGAACCAUGAAACUCGCAAGAAGUGAGAUGAAUUAAUGCUUGAUUAGCAAAGAUCUAUACUAGAGAGAAAACCCAGUUUGGGGACUGAGUUGGAGAAGGUAGAUUUGGAAAGGUGGAUAUGAAAUCAAAUGGAAGAAUGAGCUAGAAGCAUUGAGAAGAGAGGAAAAAGAAGGAAAACCCAGGUGGGAAUUAAUGAAAGUGAUGUUGAGAAGACAUGAAUGGGGCUUGAAAUUCAAUGAAAAUGUGCUCUGCUCAACUUUUUCUUUUUAUGGUCUGAGUCUUUGGCUCAGAAUGCUUACGUAGUUGGUGAAUUUAGAAAAUUGCUUAAGUGUCAAGUGUCUCUCGAUAAUUGUACAUUUUGUUAUUAAAUUUUGUACAUUUUUUUAUUUAAUUAAUAUUACAGAAACGUAUGGCAGUAUGGUUAUUAUAUAUAUAUAUAUAUAUAUAUAUAUAUAUAUAAAGGAGGUUGUAUAGAAUGGACAGCUCCCCACCAUGACUCAUAUAGGGGUAUUGCAUGUUUCUUUUUUCUUUGAUAUAAGCGACAUUAAGUGGGGUGAGUCGAAAACUGAACUUUCAUGAUAUUUUAGUUGUUUGUGUGUGUAUGAGAAACUUUCUCUUCUAUAGUUUAAACUGUCGCUUACAAUAAAUAAAAAAUUGAGUUUGACGAUAAAAAAUUACUUAUUAAAUAAAAACCAAAGAGAAAAAGAAAGAAAAGAAGGGCAAAACCUUGACUUUCAACAUUGUCAUCCAUAAUCAAUCAUAAUCAAUCAUAAAACAAAAAGUCUCAUACCCACAUGCAACCCACCAUUGAAUUUGUUGACCAGAGGCCUAGGCCGUUUGAUUAAAGGGCAAUCAAGUAGAUUCCAUGCAUGUCUGAGUUUGCUUCCACACUGUAUAUGUUUCACCCCGCUAUACCAAUUUGAAAAAGCUUUCUCCAAAAGUAGUAUAGGCUAAAAAAGCUUUUUUUUUUUCUUUAAAUAAAGAUCUUUUAUCUUCUUCUUUACAUGGAGAAGUCAAAUCCAUGUACAGUAACAGUAGAGACCGACAAGAAAAAAAAAAAAAACAGAACCGACACCUUCCAUGCUUGCAGUGUUGACAAAACUGUAGCCUCUAGGCAAGAAAGAGGGAAGCAAGAGGCACUCUUUUUUCAAAAAGUGCUUCUUCAUAGUCAAAUGUUGAGGCAUCUGCCAAAGAAACUUAGCCCAACUGUUUUCCCCAAAAUUUCCAAACAAUGCCAACCUUUUGUUCACAUCAAGAUCACGAUCACCUAACGUUUUAAUUAGAAUGUAAAAGCCAAAAGCUACAAGCCUCUAUAUUUCAUAGUAACGGCCAAAUCUAUGUACAUUUUGUCAACCAAUCGUUCAAACAAGUUGAUGGGCCAAUGGUUCAUUGGUGAAUGUGUUGUAUUUCAUUGGCUGUUAUUUUUAGAAGAUUUUGCACAUAAUUUUGCAGCUUUUUUUUUUGAUGAAGUCCAAACAGCAUUUAUUGCAUUUGACGAAUUGAUUGGAAAUAUACCAACUUCCAACUUUCAAGCCCUAGAGAUGCAAAAGACCAGGGUGCACUCAACUCAUCAUGUACCUCGACAUCACAAAUCUGGAAGGGAGUGUUUUCGUAUUUUGUAGGAAAAUUAAAUGCUGGUUACCAAUGCAUCAAACUUGUAUUUGUGUAGGGGGACAUACAUAGAUUCCAAAUGAUUCUUUUCAACUCAUAAUAUCACACCGUAUUUAAUCAUUUCAAAAAUAUUGUAUUUAGUAUUUUCAUGAUUUUUCAAACAAAAAUGCAAUUAUAUUGUCAAUAAUAAUUUUAUUUAUUUCAGCGUUUAAGAUUAUUUGUUCUUAACAUUAUAAUGUACUUAUAGCUCACACGAAAUAUAUUAAUAGUAAAAGUUGAACAUAAGAAGAGCAGUAAAUUGAUUACAUGUUUUCAUCUACACAAUGAAAAGUGGGUGGUAAGUUUUCGUCGAUGUGGAAAACAAAAAUUCACUAUACGUAUACGUUUGUUUCUCAUAUCAUCCAAUUGUGAACCAGUAAUAUCACUUGUUAUUUCUUACGAUGAUGUUGUGCACUAUUCUAGUUUCCUUUCAUUUAACGAUGUCAACUUGGAAGUUCUAGCUUGGUCUCCAAGUUUGCUGGCCUAGAUUUGACCAUCAAACAGUGUUGCACAACGUACGAAUUAAACAUAUUACAAAUACACAGUUGAACAGUUCAUUUCCUACCUAAAAGCCUUAUUAAGCGAUCAAAUGGUUGGCAUAAGCAUACAUGGUAGUUGCCAGUUGGCAAUUGUUGGACCGUUGAUGAAGCAUACCUAAAUUAUAUUCUACAAUUCAACUAAAUAAAAAUAAAAGUGCCCCCAAGAUAUUGUGAUAUUUCAAUAAAUGUACAUUGUACGAAUUAAAAAAUAAAAUAAAACUGGGAAAAAUAAUUGAAAUGAGUCACACAUCAGUUAAAAGCACAUGGAACUUGGGAGAUGGCAACAGCUGUUGAUAAAAGCAGUUUUUCUUGGAGAAUGAGUAACAGACGUCAGGAGCAGGAGCAGUCAGGAGAUGUGAAAAAUCCUUAAUGUUUUCAGCCAGAGGUGUACCUGCUUGUCUGUUGACUCGGCCUCAGUGUCUUCUCUUCUGUUCAAAUCAAAUGGUUUCAUAUAUUUAUUUGUCACAAUUUGUUUCAUCCAGUAGGGUAUGAAUUAUGCAAAUAAUUUAUCGUUUAAUUCGCAUACAUUUUUAGCAAUUUUUUUUUUUAAAAAAACAAUGGCUUAAGGUGUUUUAAUACUACUUGUUCAAGUAAAUAGGCAUGUCAUCAUAUGAUCAAAUGGAUGUCCCUCUGUCCAGUUGUAUUAAACUUAUUUUAAUAGUUCUAGAAGGAUCGAUUAUUUUGUUAUCUUCUCUUUGUUAUUAGAAACUACAUGUAGGAUGUAGGAAUUGUUCGCAUCCUAUUUCUCAUAGAUUAGAUUAAUUUAGAGAUAAUCGCUCGUAUAAAAAACAAAAACUAUAUAUAUAGGAGCUUAAUUCUUAUUUGUACAAGAAUUAGGAAGAAGCUAAAAACCGUUUUUUAGUCGUAAAAAGUUAAAAAAUUAGAGAUAGAAAAACGUAAGUAAAACGUUGAAAUUUGGUGAUACAUUUUUCUUCUUUAUUACUUUGUUCGGCUUUGACUUCUACUCUUGUCCUACACAAAGAAGAAGAAAAAGAAACAUUGUCAUGUGGGUUUUGUUAGGGGGAAAAAAAGAAAAGGAAGAAGAAGAAGAAGAAAAUUGGUAAAUUAACUUGGUGUAUGAUUCUAUCACAUGGGUGCAAUCACGUGACUGCAUGAGGCUCUGUAGUUUUUUCUUACAUUUCCACCCAAAAGAUUAUACAAUGGCAUUUACUCAAAAACAAAAACAAAAACAAAACAAAACAAAAUAUUAAACCCUAUGUUGUGCACGUGUCAACACGUGCCUUGGAACCGUCCAAUCAAAAAAUAGACAAAAUUAAGCAUCUUCGUUCUGGUGUGAAAAUCUUGGUGUAGUUUAAUUUGAAUAUUUAUUUAUUUUGGAUAAAGUUGAACUGCAGAUAUAAGCAGGCGUAAAUUAAUUAUUGAAAUAGAUUGACUGACUUUGUUAAUUACAAUCGUACAUCUCUCAUCAGCACAAUCCUGGUCAAAUGUUGACAAGAUUCAUUCAGCAUGUUCCUUCUCCAGUGAAAACUUAUAUUUAUAGGUUUACUUUUUUUUAAUUAUUUUUUUGGGAUGAAUUGCGUAGACUUGAAUUGUUGAACUGAUUGACUAACUUUGUUAAUUACAAUAUCUAGGAGAUUCUUCUUGGUUAUUUGUAAUUAACUAACAAUCAUCAAGUGUACAUAAGAGGGGCUUUGAUUAAUCAUAGUCUAGAGUUCUGAUUUUGGUGAACAAAUUUGUUGAGUCGGGGUCAGGUGUGUUGUCCCCUCAUUGUAAUUCUUCGUUUUAUCAAUAAAAUUUCUCUCGUUCCAUCGAAGUUCUCUAAAAAAAUAAUAAUAAGAGGGGCUUUGACUAAUCAUAGUUUAGAAUUCUGGUUUUGGUGAGCAAAUUUGCAUAUGAAUUACCAAAACAACAACUUUUAUGGUAUAAUUAGUAUGCAUUGAGAUAAUAAUUGGAGUUUUCAAAAAUGAACUCAUAUGAUUAACAGAAUAUGGUUCAUUAAUUACUCACAAGCUUAUUCUACAAAACCCAAUUAUUGAGAGGGAAAGGGGUAUGCAAAAAGAUAGAUAACUGUGACAUUGUUUUGUUCGUUUUCUGUUGGUAGUAGGUACCGCACUUCCUUUGUCUUUGUAUAAUUUUUGUGGGUCAAUGAAUGUUGUAUUAGUAUCCUAAGUCUUUGGAUAGAUCUGAGCUCAGCCCAAUUUUAACACUUGGGCAUCUGGAAACGAAGCCCAAAAUAAAACCCAGAUCCACAACUAUAGAAAAUCACAAUGGACUUUAGCUUCCAAUGUUGGGGUAAUAAGCUGGAGAUUCCAUAGUGUGGGGCAAAAUAGUAACAGUGAAACUUACAUACAUCGGGUUGAUAUAAUAGUUGUGUUUACAACAUUUGUCUAGUGAUUAGGUUAAGUGUUGUGUACUCUUGUUACAAGAUCUAGCACAAUGAAAAAGAGUCUUGACUUGCAGACCAAUGAUCUCAGGUUUUAAAUCCUGAACUGCCAAUUUUUCGUUCUAAAUGCCUAAGUGAAGGGAAAAUUGGGUGUAGAGAUUUCUAAAAUCCCAUAAAGCUAUGAAGGAACAAAUCAUAUAGCCUAUGCAUAUCAUAUAUGAAAUCAAAUAAAGCGGAAACAAGAAAAUAGCUAGAGAUUCAUACUAGUCUCUACUUAGGUCCCAAUUUUUAUAGGUCUAUGACAGUUUGCACCAUUGACACCAAUAUCCCAUAUUAAAGAGAAAGUAGAAAGUGAGGUUACCUUUGGAGCAUAUCUUGAAUCUCAAAAUGAUAUUCAAGUAGAGGGAGUUGUCCCUUAAUUGUUGAUUCUCCACCUUGGUCUCGAAAUAGGCACAAAAGAGGUUAUGCUUCCCCAAAGUAUCUUCACCAAGGUAGAAUGAGAAUGAGAGAAUAAGGAACCAAGAGAAGAAAAUGGGUGCUAGUCUUUUAUUCCCUAUGGUGGCCGGCCAAGUGAGACUAGGGAGGAUGCUUGAUGUCUUCCUCUCUUCCUAAAUGCCUAACUUGAAACCCUAAGGAGGUUUGAUGUUAUGUGUAUGAAUUUAUAGAGACAUUUUGUCACACAUAUGUCCCCGAAAACCCCCAUGUACCGCAUCCUCCCUCUUCUUGGUCUUUUUGGGCUACUUUGGUCCACCACAUUAAUCCCUUAGAGCACUUCCACCCCUAUGGGCAAGGGCAAGGUAAGGGCUCUCACUAUUCACGUGAAUAGUGGCAGCCCUUGCAAUUUUGUUUUCACCCCAAUGAGUAAGGGCAAUUACUAUUCACUUUAAUUUAUUUUCUAUUUUUUAUACUUAAACUUUAAAAAUUAAUUUUAUUAUUUAAAAUUUAUAGAAAAAAAAAAUAUAGAAUUUUUUGGUAUUUUUUUUUCAAUUUUUAUUACAUAAAAAAUGGCAGUCAUUGGAUUGUAGUGAAAAAUUUGAUAGGACGCCCCGGGUGCUGCCACGUGUCUUGUGGCAGUGGCAAACAAAUUUGAAAAGCGUGCUAACGCCACGACGUCAGCAAACCUAAGCAACCACACGGGCUGGAUCUACCUUUGGGCUUGCCCAGGUUGGUGGCCCCACGUCUUACUCGGGAUGCUUUGUGCGCGCCAGAGUCAUCUCACAGGCCUAGGGCCCCUCCUGCUCGGGCCAAACUGUUGCGGUGAACUUGCUCUUAAUAUGUCAUAUUUUGCCUAAGUCCAUAAGGUCCAUUCUUAUAAAUAUUUAAGUUAUAUAGGACUAAAAUUAAGUUCCAUAACUUUAAUUAAUUCAUUUAAGCUAAUCUAAUUUGUUUAAUUGAUUUGAUGACUUAAUCAAUUAAAUCAUUGUCUUGUCUAACAAACAUUGGUCCUUGUCAAGCAUUGGUCCUAGACUGCUUUCCGUUCUUAUCUUUAUUCAUUGACUUGAAACACAAAGACCGGAUUAGGUCGACCAAUUCGAUCCAAUUAACUGUUGAAAUUCAAAAAAAUAAAAUAAAAAAUUGAACUAAACUACUUAAACCGGUCUUAUUCGGUCGAUUUGGUUAGGUUUUCGUUAUAAAUGUCAUCCUAAUAAAAGGUGUACACUCCUAAAUAUACAAAAAAAGAAGUGUACGGACCAUAAUUAUUAUGUCUACUAGACUGGAUUUUGUCAUUUGCCUAUUGGGCCCUCGUAAGUUAUGAUUGAUUUCGCCAUCCAAUUACCCCAACCCUAAAUGUCCCAAACAUUCUAUUCUCUAGUACUAUAUAUGUAGCACUUUAAUAACAUAAUUUCUCUCUCUCUUUUCCUAACAGUGCACACUCACUCAGUACCAUAUACAUUGUCCAAGUGCUGAUCAUAAUCUGAGUGGAAACAACAGUAAAUCUAGAUGAAGAAUUCGUCAAAAGCAAACACACCUAGAGAUAUUCUACAAAUGCUUUUUUCUUUCGAGUAAUAAAAUUUCUCCGGUGAGCUGCGGUUCACAAAAAGAAAUAUGAAAAAGAUGCAAAGGGAUUUGCAUAAUUUUCCUGUUGCAAAGUCACAUUUUAAUUAAACCUCUGUUUUUCUUUCUUCUGGUCAUAAGUGUAGGAUAUCAAAUACACAGAAAAUUUGGCAGGCGAAUAGCCACACAAACAGACAAACAAAAAGCCACAAGCGAAAUCAGAAACAUCAUGAUUGAAAUCUAAAAUUGAAUGCUGAUGAAAUGAAAACGAAGGGCGGAUGGCUUGGCUUCUGUCCUUUUGUGCCAACGUGUGCAGUCACAAGCAUUGUAUCUUCAGUGUUGCUUCGAGAUCACGACAUAAUAUUUAAAUGGCCAUCGGAUCGAUAAGAUGCUUUUCUUUGCAUGGCUAACUAACCUAUUUGGUCCUCUUCUUCUCGCUAGCCUUAAUGGAAUUUGGACAGAAAUUCUGAUGCUACACUGAGAAAGAAUCAAAUCCAAAACGCAAAAAUAGGAAUUUGGAGAACUUUGCAUUGAAUUCAAUGUUUGGCAAAGCACAGCGCCAAUAUUUAAUAUGAAUGGCAAAUCUAAUCCCGGCCAACAAAUCUAAACCCCCAAAAAUCAAAUAUUGACUCAAUCCUUUUUAACUAAUGAAACUAUACCAAAAGAAUUUAGAAAAUUAAAAUUAUGACUUAUUUGGAAAUGCAUAAGCACUCCUAUUCAUAAGUACUUUUUUAAAGGCGCUUCUAUUAGAAGAACGUCAAAAAUUUUAUUUAAACUACAAAUGAGCAAUUGUAAGUGAUAUGGAGAAGUAUCGAGAAGUGAUUCCUAAAGAAUCACAUGCCUCUUCAAAAAAUGCUUUGUGGUCCAUAAGCACUUAUAAGUUUUUCUAUCAAACUCUAUUAGAAGUCAAAGAAUUUCCAAACAGACCCUUAAUUUAGAUAAUGUACAUCGUUUCUUUAUAGGGAUAUUGUUGUUUGCACAACAAAAAAAAAAGCCACUUGCAUUGCUAAAAUGCACGGAGAAGUACAUCAAACUAUCAUAUCCUUGCUUGAAUUCUUUUUUUUAGUACCUUUACUGGACAUUUCUAAAUAAUAAGCUCUAGUUGUGGUGGAACAUGACAAAAUGAUACUCAAGUUGGACCUAAGUCAAAUACCUCACCAUUACAUCACCAUACUCAUUUACAAAGUGUUUCAUACGUGUGAUAUUGAAGCACCAAUGAGGCGGUUCUGGGGUGGUGUAAGUAGUGCCAUCGUACAGAGCUCCCAAUUUUUAAGGGCCCUCGAAAUUUUGUUUUCUUUAUAUUAUACAUUAUUAAUAUUAUAACAAUCGUAUGUAUAUACUCUAACGUGCUACAUAUUGACAGAAAAGCAUUUGUAGUGGAGCUGGCUUUCCAGCGAAAAAAGGGAAAUAUCAAACUUUAACUAACCAGCAACAAUAUAUAUCCCCCAAAAUGAUUCCUCCUCCCUCCGAGCAUGCUAAUUCAUCAUAAAUUAGCACGAUAGAGUAUAUAUAUGAUAGUUAUAAUUAUUAUAUAUGAUCGUUUUGGGGUUAUACAACAAUCAUAUAUUUUUUUUUAAAUUUGAUUUCUAAUUUUCAUUACAUGCUAAUUUAUGAUGAAUUUUAGUUAUAAAAAAAUUAUUUUAUAACAUUAGGUUAUGAAUAUUUUUAAAAAAUAAUUUCCUAUUUAAGUUUCGCACACGACUCUUUUUACUUUUCCUUUGAGAUGUAAAUAUAUGUACCGACCUAUAUUUCCCCUUUGCCCUUUCUUGUCCUAAUCGCAUUAUUAAGCCUUUGAUGAAUGAAACAACCACAAACAAAACCAAAAGUUUGAGAAUACGAAAAAGGACUCCUUGACCCUAAAGCCAUCACCUUGACCAUCCGGAUACAUUGGAUUCAUGGCUAAUAUAUGCAUGGUCAUUAUGGAAGCUUCCGUCAACACGUGGGAACAAUUUCUCAGCCAGACUUUUUGACACGUGGCUAUUUGUGGCCCCUCCUUAAAUUUCAUAAUAAUAGCCUACAUGUGCUUUUUGAACCCAUAUAAAAUGCUGUUGCCCAACACUUAGUUUGGCCAUGCAAAACUACAUCAUAUAUGGACUCCAGAGGAAAGGUCAUGGAAGAGAAGGAAGGCGGAGAGGUUCGAUACCGGGGCGUGCGGAAGCGGCCGUGGGGCAAGUAUGCCGCUGAGAUUCGCGACUCAAACAGGCACGGUGCACGGGUUUGGCUUGGGACUUUUAACACGGCUGAAGAGGCAGCUAGAGCUUAUGAUCAAGCUGCUUAUGCCAUGAGGGGUGGCUUGGCCAUUUUGAAUUUUCCUACUGAGUACCCAGCAAGUGGUGGCUCUUCCUCUUCAUCGUCUUCGGCUAAUUUUUCAUCAUCAGUGGCUGGGACUAGCCAGGGGAGAGGUCGUGGGGAGCAUGGAAAUGAAGUUCUUGAGUUAGAGUACUUGGAUGAUAAGUUGCUAGAGGAACUGCUUGAUUGUGAUCACCAAAAGAAGAACAAAAAAUAGUGAGGUUGGUAUCCCUUUUUGGCUUAAUAAGCAGCUAUCCACCGUCUAUUUCUGCAAGGCACAUCGCAAGGUCAAUGAUGCUCUUAUCUUUCUUUGUUGAUAUGUAACUAGAUUCUGAUAAUCACCUUUUGCCUGCGUGUGUUUUUUCAAUGAAGAAUCUAGCAAAAGUGUUGUGUGUUGUUAAGCUUUUUAAGAUAUGGUGAUUUUCCUUCUACAAAAGUAUGAUCUGCGCACAACGCAGAAAAUACAUUGUGAGUAGUAGUUGUAUGUAUGCACCUUUAAUUUUCAGGGGUUGGUAAUUUUUGACACUGACUCCAAUUUAAUAAGAAGAAGAGGAUGAUUACUGGAUCUGACACAAUUCACUAACACGAAUAACUCUGCUUAACUUGUUUUGUGUGAUGAAAAGUAAUGAUUUUCUCAUUUGCUUUUAUAAGCCUCAUAAAUUAGGAUUACUUUCAUGGUUUUUUCUAGAUUGACUUUAUGAAUUGUUUAGCUUUAGACUUUUAGUCCACAAUUUACGAAAUUCAACUUGAAUAUGACACAUAAAUGAGUUAAGUUACGUACUAUCGAACCAUUUACAAUGAUAAUUACAUAAAUCAUGAAAAGGUUGACAACUAUCCGACAUGAGUUUUUGAAGAAUGUUGAAGUUUCACUCAUAGACGGAACUACACUAUGGCUAGAGUAGGCUCUAGCCUUUAAAGGUUUGGAAAAAUGAAAUUUAAUACUAUUUUUUACGCACUACACCUCAUUUUACAAACAAAUCUCUAGUUAGCUUCAAGUUUUCCCCUAUGAUAAAAUAAAUGGAAUUUUAUUUAGAUCUUUACCCAUAUAAGAAAUAAUAGCCCACCCCUAUAAAAAUUUCUAGUUCCGUCACCUAGGGGUGCAAUUUGGAUUGGAAAAUCCGAUUCCAAUCAAUUAUGUUAUGACAAUUUCCGAUUUUGGCAAGUCCAAAUCAAUUUCGACUUCUGAAAAUUCCGAUAAAAAAUUGGAUUGGAAUUGGAAUGUAUCAAGAGAUUUGCAAAAAAUUCCUAUCUAAUCCGUCCAAAAAUCAGCCCCACUCCCAAAAAUUUGAGAUUCCACCACAAAAUCAAUAUAGUUAGAGUAAUAUUCUCUUACCAAAUUUGUAAUAUAUGCACUCAUUUUAACUAGGGUAGUACCUACAAAUAUGAAGGCACCUACCUAUUAUAUCUUUCAAGUAGUAUAUGUAUGUAAUUAAGUGUCUAAAAUCAAAAUUUACAGUUUAAUAUCCUCAACUUUUGCCCCACAUAAAAAGGGUCCUUCAAUUUCGAUUUUUCGCCUCUUUGAUUGGGGGUAAUGUUCUCGAAUUUUCACCGCUUUUUCUAAACACUAGGGACUCUUUGCAUCUGUUUGGCUCUCUUGUUGUUCUUACUCUUAAUUGUGGUUUAUUUUUGUACCACUCCCCUGUACUUUGGUUAGGCUCUUUUGCCUCCAAUCUUUAGAUAAUAAUAUUUACAUUUAAAAAAUAAAAAAACAAAAAAAAAACUUUGUCCCACACCUCUGAACAAAUUGACAGGAUAGACUGUUUUUUGAAUUUGUGGCUGAAAUGGAUGUUAUAUAAGUUAUAACAACGUUCAACAAUUGUUAAUUAUAUAAUAGUCCACUAUAGUGAUCUCCAGGCGCACCACAAAUAUACAAAUUUUUAUAUAAAAAAACCCAAAAAACGUAGCCGCCAGUCCUUUCAUUUGGAAUGUGGCCAACUUUAUUUUUCACUGUGUAAUGUCAUUUUAUUUUGUCGCAAUCAAGCGAAAAAAUACAAUUAAUUAAGAAAAAAGUAACAAAAAUACAAAAAGAAAAGGCAAAGUUGAUAGAUUCCAAGCAAAGAAAUGUAAGGUGUGGUCAAAAGCUAGACACUAAUUCUUGGGUUUUACCACUACAGAUUGGCGCUUACAAAGCAGUCUGCUGUUUCUGUUAGGCGUUUUUUUGGGUUGCAAAAUUCGAUGUUAGGCCCAAGGUUUAAAAUAUCGAGAGUUUCGAAAAUAUCGGUUGUUCAAAAACACGGAAAUAUUGAUGGAAAUAUCGAGAAAAUAUUGAUAUCGAUAAAAAUUGAAUAAAAAUCAAGAAAAUUAUGAGAAAAACUUGGAAAUUUUUAUUGAAACUUUAGAUGAUGUUUAUUUAGUCAAUUGUCUAUUAUUUUAUCACAAAAAAUUGGAAUAAAAUGCAUGGCAUGGUGGGUUAGAGUGAUUUAAGUUGAUUAUGCGCAACGACCUAACAAACACCGUGUCUUUAGAAAAUAUGUAGUAAUUAGUGAAAGAAAAUUAAACGCACCAUAAUUUUUUAGUUAUAAUAAUUUACUACAAUAUAUUGCAUAUGAUAAGAUAUAUGAGCUUGACAAAAAAACAAAAACAAAAUAUAUGAGUAACUUAGUACCACAUAAAAAAAAUUCCUAUUAAAGUUAAAACUUAGUAUCACAUAUAAUGAACAAUAUUAAAACUCAAUAGUGAAUAAUAAUACAAUUCCAUAAUAUAUAACCAAAAAAAAAAAUCCAUAAUAAAAUAAUAAAUAAAAUUAAACAUAUGCCUAAAUUUAUCAUUAGGGAUUGUUUUUUUAAAUGGAAAUUUAUCCUAGAUAAUAUUAGCUUGCAGAAAUUUUUAAGACCAUAUAAAUAUUACACGUUGUAACAUUAUUAAUAAACUCAUUCGCAGCGUGUUGGAUAAGGCCUAGUAGAUGGAUGGGAAAGAGAGUGGUUAAUCCCCUAGUUGGCAAAAGCGCCAUUUCUCAACAAAUUUCAUUUAUUUUUCAGUUUCAAUUGCGAUAUUAUUGAUAAUAUCGCGAUAUAUUGCCCAAAUAAAGGACGAACGAGUAUGAAAUUAUCACCUCUGACAUUAUCGCGAUAAUAUCGAUAUAUUGACGAUAAUUAAGUGAAUAUGGCCUAAAAUAUCGAUCAUUUAAAAAAACGAUAUUAUCAACGAAAUAUCGCCAAUAAUUUCGAUAUUUAAGACUGUGGUUAGGCCUCACCAAGUUUUGGAGGCCGUGACUUGUGCUGGGGUUUAAGAGCACUUGUGAAUUGAACUGGCUGCAAGCUAGUAUUGGGCUCAGUUAUGAAUACAUAAAGACCUCAACUGAGGCCUGCUACCUACAUACAGUCUCUGUUUUGUUGAAAAAGUUGUGAGUUCAAAUGUCAUGAACGGCAGUUGUUUUUUAUUUUUUAUUUUUAAUACAAGCUUUAGUCUUAAACUACAAGGCGAGAAGAGUUUCUCUCACACACGCAUUUGCGUUGUUGAAUGAAAAAUAAUAAUAAUAAUUUGCUCGAGUCAUUCUGAAGACGAGUUUGGUUAAAGGUGGACUUCAAAGGCUACAAAUCUAAUAACAGAGAUAUGGAAAACGAAAUUUAUUUCCUCCUUUGCAAUUGUUCCUCUCAUGUUAAACACAAAACAUGCAUGCUCAUUCAUUCUCUCUCCAAUCUUGACCAUUUUUCAUUUGUUGGGCUUUUAUUUGUGGUGGUGGUGUUAUUCGAAUUUGUUCUCUCCUGCUUGCCUGGACUUGUUUGUGUCAUUUGUCAACUACUAGUACUACGAAUCCCAGCGUUACUUUGACAAGUAAAGUACUUGUGUUUGGGACAAAUUUGUCUGUCGUCAGCAGUGGUAUGUAUAUAUAUUCUUAACCUUUAUAUCCUUGUCCAAAUUGCUCUUCUAAAUUAAUCAUUUCUUUCUUGGGUUGGGACUAAUCCUGGCUUCAUCUUAAAUUCUUAAUGGAUGAGAAAAGAAUUUCAUGAAACAAAGAUUCUCUGUUUGUGUUUGGAAACAAGGUUCUCUAUUUUCCUGUUGCGUGAUUCUAAAGUUUGUCAGUGGACUAAGCAAGUCCUGUAUUGUCUCUUCUUCAAUCUUUAUUAUGCCUUUCACCAAGGAGACCAAAAUAUAAUCUAGAUAGUGAUCCAACUUUCUCCUUUUUUCAGGAUUUGCAAAAAUCAGGAGAUUGUUUUUUGUACUUUUCAAGCACCUCUUGCACUUUUCUAGCCAAGUCUAAAUAACAAUUUUUAAAUUUAUUUUAUCAAAGAUCUGAGCCAAUCAAACUAACACUCCAUUGGUAGUAUUAUAAUUUUUGAAAGGAUUCAUUUUCCACAACAACAAAAUAAAAUAAAAUAAUAAAAAUUAUGAGUAUUCUCUAUUGAGAAUGCCCUCAAUAUAAGAAAAGUAAGAAUUUCAGUAUUGUCAUAGCCCAUAUUGCAAUAGUGGUAUUUAUAUUUCUAGUAUGAAAAGAUAUCUCAAAUUAUUUUUUAUAUUAGAAGCCGUCUCAAGUUCGAAUCUCUUUUUUACGUUGAUAAUAACAACAUAUUAUUAGAGAUACCAUACACAUACAUGUGCAUAUGUGUAUAUCAUACCACGUCAUGACUAAAACAAAUUAUGACAUGAAAAAAUGUGCUUGCUAAACCAUGGUUGAACAACAUAUAUUAUUUUAUAGAAGGGAAAUGUGUUCAACUCACUAAACAACAAGGGAAGAAAAAGGUUACACAAACACAACUCAAUUUCACUUCCGUUUGUUUUUCUCCUCUUGAGAAUCAAGAAGGUCCUCCAACACAUGGUCAUCCAAAUACUCAAUCUCAAAGACUUGCCUUCCUUGUCCAGUAGAUGAACUUCCACCAGGAGCAGCAGCAGCAGCAGCAGCAGAAGAAGAAGAAGAAGAAGAAGAUGAAGAAGAAGAAGAAGAAGAAAAUGAUGAUGAGAAUCUAGGAGGAUGAGGAGGAGAGCCCAUAACUUGAGAAUAAUACUCAUUUGGAAAGUUGAGUAUGGCAAGAUGACCCCUUAAAUUAAAAGCAGCUCUGUCAUAAGCCCUUGCAGCUUCUUCAGCCGUAUCAAAUGUGCCAAGCCACAGACGAGCACCUUGCCUUGAAGGGUCUCUUAUCUCAGAAGCAAACUUCCCCCAUGGCCUCCUUCGGACUCCCCGAUAACGCACUUCUUCGCUUCCCUUCUCUUCCAUUCCUUGCUUCUGUAGAUCCUUUCCUCUACGAGGGUCUUCCAUAAUUUCUAGCUUGAUUCUUUGAAUAAUUUCUGGUGGUCGUUAAUUUUGACAAGCCUUUCUGUUUUUGGUUUAAAAUAUGGUGGCAUAUAAUGUAUCUCAUUGAUAUAUUUAUAGGUGUUUGAUUUUGGGACAAAUGGGGUCAUAUCACAUAUGACUUAGAUGUACUGUGAUUGUGAGAGUCCACAUGAACGUGGAUUGACCAAGCGUAAAUGGAUGUUUCUUGGAAGGUUCUUCAUCUUCAUGUAUAUUAAUUAUUAUCAUCUAGGGCUAUAAUAGAGGUGCAAAAAUUCGAUUCUUCGACUCUUUCUAUGAUCAAAUUCAAAAAGGGUUUGUAAAUCUCUUUUCUUGAUAGGCAUUUUCUUUCAAAUGGGCUUCGAAUUCUAUCUUUUUAUGUUCAUAUUAUGUGAGAAUAAUAGAUUGUGUUGGUUGGUAAUAGUUUUUUUCUUUCUUUCACUGAACCAUUGAACUGUAUUGUCACUUUACACAGAAUAUGUAGAGAUUGAUUCCCAUAUCACAAAGAUUGGAGGAAUUAGACCCACAGAAUAUGAAUGCGUAAGUGAUUCCAUCCUAAUAACUAAGAAUAUUACAAGCAUGCACUAGCCAUACAAUUUUGGUUGAAGGCAAAAAUAGGAAACUCAGGAAAAGCAAGAUAAGGUCUCAAGGGGUAUAAUUUUCCUAUUUGGUGGAAAAGUGGACUGCUAUAUAUUGUCCCCUUGCACUACUCCCUCGUAAUAUGCUUUGAUCAUUGUAGGGAUUUCAGAUAUGAGAUUUUUCAAAUCAUAUCAAAUUAUUCAAAUUUUAUUUUAUUUGAUAUGAAGCAUAUAGAAUAUGAAAAUAUUUUUGCUCACUACUUUAACCUAAUGUGUACUCUCACCAUCAUUCUCAACACUUGACACAUGUUCAUAGGCAUAACUAUAGUUAACUCUUUGUUUUGUAUUUGUGGAACCAUAGUUAUGCCCAUGUACACAUGUCAAGUGUUGAGAAAAGUGGUGAUGGUACACAUUGGGUUAAAAUAGUGAGCAAGAAUGCUUCGUAUAGAAUAGCAUUCAAACAUUAACGACUCAUUUUGGCUCACUCCACACUAUAAUUCUUUGAUCAAAGUCAUUCAUUCUGCAUUCCAUGAUCAUGGUUGCAAAUAUACACUCAAAUUGAAAAAAAUAUAUAAAUUUCGACACAACGAUAUUUUAAAUUACUCUAAUGUAUAUGGAGGGGAACAAACUUAGAUACAAGUGGGUGAGUACACUGCCUUGGCCAAUGGCCAUAACCCACACCUGCUCAAGUUGAAAAUCUUUGAGUAUUUGUGAAUAUUUUCAUUAUGUCUCAUAAUGUGUUCAUCUAUUUAUUUUAUCACAAUUAAAAUAACUAAAUGAUUUUUCAUUUUGAAUAUUUUUUUAUUUAUAGAAAUGAUCUUUCAAUGAGUACCUAAAAUUGAAUGAUUCAAAUCAUAUAAUAUAUUAUGGAGCGGACCUGGUGAUUAAUUAACGUAAUGUUGUCAAUCAAUAUGGUCAUAAAAUGUGAUCCCUUUACCUUUAUUUGUAAAAAGUGCUACUAUUUCCACUCUAUGUCCUAUUUUCGCACCCACAUAACCUUUCCAACUACCAUGUAAAUUUGAAAAAACACAAUCCUAUCUUUUCACACAUCAUUAUUCCUAAAAUACCCUUAAUUAUUAAUUCAAGCAAAUUCUCUUUGCUAAUCAUUAGUAGUUGAGAUAUUGAGAGGAUGAAGUUGUGUUUGAUGGACUGGAUAAAUGCUUUAGCAACUGAGGAGUCGUACACUUUCUUCUUCUUUAUUUUUUCUUUUUGUCAAACGAUGGAAUAGGUGGGUUACAUGAGUUGAGGUUUCUUUUCCCCAAGUCCUUAGAAAUCAUUUUACAAAGGGAAAAAUUUGUCUUUAAAAUUUUAAAAAUAAAAUAGGCAAAAAAAUAGAACAUGGGGUGGAAAUAACAAUACUCUUUAUAAAACAAAACAUAAAAAGAGAAUAUAUAAGAAUAACCAAAUGAUCUUGAGUACAUCAUAUAUUCUUCUGUCCAAACAAUCGAAAAAUUCCUAAAGUAUUAAAAAGUGGCAUAGGAUUAAAGUAAAAUUCAGACCCUCCCUCUUCCAGAAAUAAAACCAAGACACUCUCGUCGUUUAAAAAAACAUGUUCUCAAAUACCACUAUAGUAAUACUGAUAUUCAAGAGCAUUUCUCUUGCAAGAUGGCAAAUCAAAUAACCUUUUUUUCUUCUUUUCCAAAUGGGAUAAAAUAUAAGUUUUGGUAAACCUUGAAGACAAAUUAUAUGUCAUUAACUACCAAACCAAUAACUCGUCCGUAAAAAAGAAAGUGAAAACCUAAGGGCCGUUUGAUAAUCAUUUCAAUUUUAGUUUUUCAUUUUAAUUUUUCAUUUUUUGUGCUAGAGCAUAGAGGAAAAAGAGGGAGAGGGGAAGUGAGAAUGAGAAUGAAGAUGAGAUUGAGAGGGAAUAUGAGAGAGGAGGAUGGGAGGAAUGAGUAACAAAAGUGAAAACAAAAACUAAAAACUGAAAUCUAUUUGAAAUUGUUUUCACAUUCAAGUUUUCGUUUUCACUUUUGUUACUACUCCCUCCCAUCCUCCCCUCUUAUCCUCUCUCUCAAUCUCAUCCUUACUCUCAUUCUCACUCUCAUUUUCCUCUAUACUCUAGCACAAAAAUAAAAUAAAAAAAAAUAAAAACUAAAAAUAAAAUGGUUAUCAAAUGAGGCCUAAGUUACCUAACCUAAUAUUAUUAUUUUUUCCUUCCAAAACCUAACCUAAUAAAUUUCUUGGAGGUAAAAAAAUUAGGCGCUAUAUCUAUCAAUUGGAAAACAAGAAGAGUGCGGACUCAUGCCCCAAGCAUUUUGUGAUCACUGAUUACGUCGUUAAAAACAGUGUGACAUACAUAACCAAUGGGCUGUGCCCGCUCGGAAAGUGAAUCCCAAAAAGAUUUUGUUAUUUGUCUUUAAAUAUUUGUUUUGGUUACAAAGAAGGCUUGCUUUUUUAUUUAUUUAUUAUUUAUUUUAUCUUGCUCUCGAAAUAUGGGCAAAAGAAGAAGAAUUGAGGGUUUCUUUUGUUUCAUGAUUAGAGAAACGUCAAUCUAUACUAAUGGGAAUUGUCAAAGCUUGCAUACGUUAGGCCAUACGCACAAGGAAACAUGAUGAGCUCCAGCAGAUUAGUUUUUUUCAUAGGUUCAUCCAGGACAGAAUCUUUAUAGGAUCAGAAGCUAUAGAAAAUGGUCCAAUUCGUGUAAACGAAAGCUUUGACAUUGCCAAGAUAUUCAAAAGGAGCUCCUCACUAACUCCAAUUUAGUAUUAAUUUAAAAAACAAAAAGGUAAGCAAGGAACUAAGAAACAAAACCAAAAAAUAAUAAUAAUUAAAGCAAAGAAAACUGAGAGAAUUUGGUUUGAAUGUCCUAGAACAUGGAGACCAGAUCAUCCCUAGCUACUUUAAACUGUUAAUGAAGCUUUGUAUUGAGGCAGAUUUAGUCUUGGAUCAAUUUAAAAAGAUGAAGGAAUUGCAUUCUUAUUUGCCAACACCUUUCCGAUUUUAUUAAUUACAACUCCUUAAUCAUGGUUGUUUGACCCUCUAAAUUCUAAUCCUUUGAAUAUUGUAGCAUGCACUUUUUUCAAAUGUUAGAUAUAUGUGGUUGUUGUUUGAAAAUGAAAACAUGAUCAAGCGAAAACUUAGCACAAAGAGCCAAAAUUUGUAAGCAUCUUGAAUGGAAAAUAAUAUUGAAAAGAUGCAUAGCUUUAUGGGCAUCUAUGCCUUUUUAACAAAGAGUGGAGAAACCGUGUGAACCUAAUUCUCAUCGAGGAAAAGCAGUUUCAGAAUCUAAAUCUCUCAAAUGAAAAUUGGGGAUAGCGGGGAUAGCGGUGUUUUGUCGAGGUAUCAUAGAAUGUCAAAAACUUUUGACAAUGUCAAGAUAUAAACCUUGUGAACGUAAGAGAUUUAUAAACCUUUUAACAAUGCCAAGGUAUCAUAGAAUGCAAAAAAACUUACUUGUAACGGGGAUAGCGGUGUUUUGCUAUCCCCAGCUAAUUAUACAAUGACAUGUAGAAAAAUUAUCCUACGUGUCAUUGCAUUAUUGAUCGGGAAUAGCAAAAUAAGAGUUUUUUCCCAUAAAAUGAAGCUACGAGUUGAGCAUGAAUUGGGUGCUCUAAAAUACAUUUUAUGCUCGCAUUGGCCCAUCAAUAAUGCAUGAGUUGCUGGGUUUAUCAUUUGAAAGUUAUACAAUUUGUUACACAAGUGGAACUCUAGAUAACACAAUUUGAAGCCCAUUCCAAAUUGCAACAGUGUUUUUAGUUGUAUCCAAAUUUGUUCUUUAAAAAAAGCUCCUCAUUUUGGGAGAAAAAUCCCCUCCUAAGGCCUUAACUUGGUUUGCAAAUGCUAAGGAGAGAUUUCAGGCCCAUUUUAGUUGACCCAGGUAGAUAUCUUCAGAUUUAAAGAAUCAUAAUGAGAUGGAACAAAAUAUAAAUAUAUGUUCGAAUCUUCCCGUUCUUAAUAUCGUUUGUAUAAAUAAAACAACAUAAUAUAUAAAUAAUAUCCUUUAAUGAAUCGAAAUAUUGUAGCCAAAAACCUAUAGUGGUGUUACUACACCUGGAGGCGGCUAUAAGAUCCUUAAUUCACAGUCUAAUUGAUAAUUAUGAACUAAUUUAGGUUGAUUUUUUUAGUAAUCAACUAUACAACAAAUUUUCAUAUAUUUUGUUACUGAUGAAUCAAAUCGUGCUCGAGUAUAGCCAGUGAGCAUUUGUCUCUUACAAGGAUGAUAAAGACGUACUAAUUUGGAUGAGAUCCACAUAGAAAGAAGAAAAAGCUCUGCCGGUCAAAUUCAAUCACCAAAAUGCAGAUGCAUUGAGCCUAGCCAUAAAAAUCCAAUGCUACCAACCAAAAAUAUAUAUUUUUUGGAGGCUGAUUAAUGAAAUGAAGCCCCUUUUGCAGUCCUAGGGUUGCAUGUUUAUAAUGUGAACUGGGGUUGAGGUCGUAAAAUGAUGAGUGAGAGUUUGCUGUGGGAGUGAAAAACUCAUGGGGACCCAGAUGACCUAACAACUCAUUACCUGAGCACCUAGAUUUGACUACAUUAAGGUUUAUAUUUUACCUGGGAAAUAUUCUGCAAUCAAUUACUUUGUCAUCUUUUCACAACAUCUGUACUAAUAUUAUAAUCCUUAGUUUCAUAAUGUAUGUACAGAUUCAUGUACCAUUUACAUCUUUUUAAACAGAAAUGGUUCAUCCCUUUAUCCAGCUUUCAUGUUUGAUGAUGAUAUCAAACUUAUCUUUUGGUUCGUUUCUUCUUAAUUUCAAAGAGUUUGGCAUAUCAGAUUUUGGAUCAGAAUUGUUAAUUAGAUAACAUUAUAUAUGCGCACGCGCUUGUAAUUAUAAUGCAUCAUAUUAUGACAACAUAACAUGCUAGAUAUAUAUAUAUAUAUAUCUAGCAGUCCCGAUCUCUUGGACCACAGGAAUCCAAGAGAUUUGUGGUCACUCACCGUUGGAUGUAAAUUUAACGGUUCACUCAAUCUUGAACUCCUUUUAAGAAACUUUUUUGAAUCAUUAGAUUAAUAUCCAACGGUGAGUGACCACAAUCUCUUGGACUCCUGUGGUCCAAGAGAUCAGGACUGAUAUAUCUAGUAAGUGAUCGUUCCUAUUUUUAAUUGUGACUAUUUCCACAUUAUUACUUAAGAAAAUCCUGAUUUAAGGAUGAUUUUAAUAUCCUUUUAUUCCUUUACACAACCUAUACGGCUAUACCUAUGGAUAGGAUGUCCUACAAUAUAAUAAUGUUAAAUUUUUUGCGAAAGUAUAAUAUAUUAAUGUUGGGAAUCAUAAGGAUGAAGGGAACAGAUGUAACACAUAAUAAUAAAAAUUACAAAAGAUGUUGGGACAUUGGUUUGAUAUGAUUAUUGGGGGAUCGUAUCAACUUUUUAACUUUUUUAGCAGUGAGAAAGAAAAAAAGUGAUGAUUUGUAACUCAAGCAAUUAAAAAUGAUUAUUUUUACUCACGAGAUUUUGUGUUUGAAUUCUCUCUUUCUCAAUAUCACUUAUAAUAGUAAUCAAAGUUUCUUUAAAUUUUUAUUAACUAAUAGUGAUUUAUAACAAGGAUUACUAAUCCUUAAAUUUUUUAGGAAUCAUUCAUCAAUAUUUGUGAAUGACUAAUUUUUCUCAAUCUUUUUUUACCUUGGUUCAUUUUUUCAAUUUUCCAAAAUUACUCUCAUAGAAAAAUAAACACUAAAAGUUUUUAAAGACAAAAAGUUUAGUCCUUGUGUUUUUUGUUUUAGAUGUAGGUCCUUUGACAUUUAUUUUUUUUUUGUUGUGUCAAUUUUACCCUUUGAGGUAAAUAAGGAAAACACACUGAAAAUCUAAAAUUAAUGCAUUAUUUCCUUGUAAUUGAAUUCCAUAAUUUAAUUUUUGAAUUAUUUCCUUGAUAAUAUUCCUAAUAUAUCGAUAAAAUACAAUUUUACCAAUAAAAAGUAAAGACCCACAUAUUAUACCAAACAAACACCCACAUUAAAUUAUAUACCUAACUUACAGGUAAAUAGUGUUAGGAACAUAAAUUAAAAGACUACCUUUAAGUCAGAUACAAAAAUAGACAAAAUAAAAUUGUAUGUUACCUAUUUAAAAAAAGUACAUAAAAUACUAUUACACAUUGUUAAAAAUAUGAAAAAACAUAUAUAUAUACACACACACACACACACACAUAUAUAUAUACCUAUGCAAUAUGACAUAAAUGACUAUUACCUGAUUCAAGUCAUAAAGGGCAACAUUGGAACAAAAAAUAAUUUUAAAAAUAAAAUAAUAAAAAGAUUACAUCAUAAAAUAUUAAAAAGAGAAUGUAAUUCUAUGUGGCACAAAAGUCAAAAGACUUAGAUCAAAGUCACCAAAUUCGAGGAUUAAAUCCAACUCCUUAAUAUGAAUUUGAAUCUAUAUCAACUUUUCUAUAGUUUUAAUUUAUGAUGUGGGUUAUUUGGUAAUAAAAUGUGCCAUAAAUGCAUUCCUAAGUCAUUGAAAAGCAUACCAAUAUGUGGAUUUGAUCGGUGCCAGUCCUUGAACUUUAGAUAUGCUUACUUUUAGUCGUAUCACAAAGCCAAUAAAUUUAGGGAACCGGCGGAGCUCCAGGUUUCACUUUCACUCCUUCAUAAGAAAGACAACAUGUAUGAGAUUUCACAUUCCAAAAAAGGUGCUCACCAAACAUAAGAGACUAUUCCUGCCUCAAGAUAAUGGUUAGUGUCAAUAUCCUUAAAUACAUGUUCAUUUUUAAUGCAGAAGCUCGUGGUCCAAUUUUUAAUAUAUAUAUAUAUAUAUAUUGCCACUCGGCAUUACUACGUGGCAUCGAAGGAAUUUUUCUUAUAGAUCCUAAGACCUAUUUUCAUUUGGCACUGAUAAUAACAGUAUAACUAAAAAGAUUGUACUAAAAGGAAAUCAUUGCCAUGUACAUGGUAAUCAAACGAAAAUGAAAAGAAUUACUUGUUAUUGUAGUAACUAAGGGGCGCAGUCUUGGCCUUGAAGAUUUUUGGAAAUAUUAAGAUGGUCCUAAGUGCACGGGAGGGUGGGGCAUAUGAAAGUGGCAAGUUAAAUGUGAAAAAUAUAUGAAUGGACCAUAUACCAUGAAUCUGUAGGCAUCAUUGCUGGCCUAACUGGUUAGUCAAAUUAAUAGUGAUGAAUUUGGCUUUUUGGAAUCUUCCUCAAAUUUGUUUUAAUUUCUGUAGAAGAAAAAAAAAAGGUUUAAUUUUAAAUUUAUAUAAACCCUUGGAUGGUGGUGGUGAUAGGGAGUGGUGAGCAAGACUAUCUCAUCAGACCAUUUGAGCACAUGUGAUAUAUAGAUGCAGGUAAUUAGUUUUUUUAUUUUUUUUAAUUUAUAAAUUCCAAAAUUUCCUCUUAAAUAUCUAUUUUUCUAGAAAAGAAGAAAGAAAGUAGUUGUUUGACAAAAGAAAAAAAGAGGAAAGAAAGUAGUUCAAGUUGGAACAGAAAUUACCCUGCAGUUUCCUUAUGUUUUUUUUUUUCCGUUUAUUCUCUUACUUUUCAAUAUCCAUUUCCUUUAAUUAUUUUUGUGGAUAUGUUUAUGAUAAAUAAAUAAAUAAGCAAUCGAAGUUGGAUUAGUCUUACCUGAUCGACUGGUGACAUGAGCACUAAUUGCAAUCUGCACCCUUGUCCCCCUUUCACGAGAUCGGUUGAAAUGGCAGCAAAAGUCCUUCAAGACCAAAUUUGCAUCAAACAAUUUGGACCAUAAGUUUCCCACCACAUCCCCAUAUAUAUGGUAAAAAAUAAAAAUAAAAAUAAAAAACCAAAUUUGGUAUUUUGGUUUGAAGGUUACAAUAGUGGUAUAAAAUCGUGGGAGCAUUUUGCUCAUUACUUUAAUUCAAAGUUUAUGCUCAUUACGUUUUUCAAUACUUGACACGUGUUUAUAAGCAUAACUUUAGUUAUAAAAAUCAAAGUAAAAAGUUAACUAUGAUUAUACAUAUGGAUACGUGUCAAGUAUUAAAAAGGGUGGUGCAUAUACCUUAAGUUAAAAUAGUGAACAAAAAUAUUUCCCUAAAAUUGUGGGUUGGUGGAAAAUGGAAAAUAUUUACCUUGUUUCAUUUCAUGACGGAGACCUAAAAAAGGAAUGAUCCCAAAAGGGAAUUUUCCUAGAAGCUCCAUCCAUGUACAUGAAAACAUUUCAAAGAUGCUUAACUGGGGCUACCUCAAAUAUUAUCUUUUACUGCAGCUGACUUGUCUCUUUCCUUUUCUUGUAUCCAUUCUUUCCGGAGGACUUUCAAAGUUGAACCAAAAAAAAAGUAUCCUAGUUUUGAUGACUUUGAAACAUGACAACAGGGAUGAGGUUUCAAGGGGGCGUGCAUCUAGACCUUUCAAACAUCAAUUUCCUAAUGCCGACUGAUGAGAUAAAAGUUUUGUGCAUUUGGGAUAAUAAUUUUUUAUUUAUUUUUGUAUAUAUAUAUAUAUCACAAUCACCAAACAAGUCCCAAGGAGAAAAUUUAACCCAACUUGUUGCUUCAUACAAAAAAGGUCAUUCUCAUUCGGGUGCUGAUGAGCUUGGGCAGAGUGAGCACGUCCAGAUAGCAGCAAAAUAGGAUUUUGGCUAAUCAUUUCACAUGAAUCCUGAUGUUUUAUACAAAUAGGAGAGACGUGAAGAAAACCUACCUAGGCUACCUAAGCUAGCUACCUAAACCACAGUCAAACAAUUAGUCCCCUAUUUCUUACUUUCUUUCUGUGUGUUCAUAAAAUGUAUGUGUUCAAUCUUGUCCCAUCCUUUGGUUUUUUCCGAAAACUUUGUUAAAUAAAAUAAAAAAAAAUAUAAAAAAAAUCUGACUAAGUGCUUUCAAAAAGUUGCCAAAGAAAAUUGACCACCGCUUUUUUUGUUUUUCUUUUUUUUUUUGUUUUAAAAGUUAUGAUUCAGAAUUUUAGUGGUUGUGUCAAAUCAGCUUAAAAUUUAGCUUACGUGUGUGAGCCUCUCGUAUAUAUUUAAGAGUAUCAAACACAACAAAUCAAGGCGAAUAAAGUCUGAACACAAUUAUACAUAUGCAAUGCAAAAUAAAGAUAAAAUGAAACAUAUAUCUUAAAAUGUAAUCUAGUUUAGAAAUGAAAUAUGCAAUGCAAAAUGAAGAUAAAAUAAAACAUACGUCUUAAAAUGUAAUCUAGUCUGAAAAUGAAGAGUAGAAUCUCACUUAAUUAACAUCUAUAGCUCACCAUUGAGCAAUGAGUACUAAGGCUACAACUAUUUUUCCACAUCCAUGAGUCCAUGACCUUGUGAGUCUAGUUUCUAGGGGUCAUUUUCUUUGACAUGGAAAAUCGAAGUCCACUUACACCAAAUGGGUCAAGUUUUAAGUUAGUGAUGGAUUGGUAUGAGUGGAAACCGUAGCCAAGUGAACCACGGGUGAUUUGCUCUUGUUAUUGCAAUUUAGUGAUCUAAUCUUCUUCUUCCCUAAUAAGUGAAAUUGAUGAUAAAGUGACAAGUAAUAAUAUAAAACGUAUUGCUCAAGUUUUAUUUGUAAAUCCAAAGCCAUAAGACCCUUGACUUCUUUUUUCCACCCUCAUUUCCUCGAACAUUCACAAAACCAUGACCUCUUUCUUCCCAAAUAAAUUUUUUGGGCUCCAAGCCAUCCAAGCAAUGUCAAAUAUUUUUUUUAUUUCUUUAAAAUCCUAGUUGACAGCUUUGAAAGCGAAAAUACGUGGGAAAUCCAACGGUGGUCCUUGAAGUGGUAAAAAAUUGAACUCACUAUCUCCAACGGCCAUUCAACUACCACGCAGUCUGUGAAUUGUGCCAUUCAGAGGAAUCCACAUGCUGACACGCGGGCAAGCUCCUAUGCGACAAAUGGACACUGAUAUCAUAAGCUGCUGAGGUCACCACAAGUUUCUCUCUGACCUGGCCGCCAUGCUUCAAUUGACCCAUGUGUUAAAAUUCAUCCCAACUUGCGUAGGAUCCCACAAUAAAUACAAUAAUACACCAAAACAAAUAAAAUAUAGCCAACCACAUCUUAUAUUUUAAUAUGAUUCACCUGGCUACUUUUACCUUUUCACCCUCAUAAUUUUUACCCACUCUCUUUCGUUGGGUCAUUUUUAACUUGGGGGCCCAAUUGGCCCCUACUGGUCCACAUUGGUCCUGUGGGACCCAUUGGAAUUGGGUAUAAAAAUGGGAGGAGGCCCCGAGUCUUAGCUUAACCACAACGUGUAGCCACACUUGCACAAACACAAUAUUCCAAGAAGAAAACAGAGACACCACCUCAAUUCUUCAAAUGAAUUACUCAAUCUUCCACUCCCCAAUUUCCGAUUUGUCACCUGAAUCUUCAUUCGGAUCAUCAUUUUCUUGGGAUGAUCACAAAUUUGGCAACAACUCACUUCCCUUCAACGAAAACGACUCCGAAGAAAUGCUUCUCUAUGGCCUAAUUUCCAACGCCACCCAGGAAAUAACAUCAAGAGAAACAGAGACACUCUCUGUUUCUGCAAACCCAAUCAAGGAAGAGGAAGUGAGCUCCACGUCCGACUCGGAGAACCCGAAAAGGGAAAAGUCGUACAGAGGGGUGAGGAGGCGGCCAUGGGGCAAGUUUGCUGCUGAAAUUAGAGACUCCACCAGGCACGGCAUAAGGGUGUGGCUAGGCACAUUUGACAGUGCCGAAGCUGCAGCCUUGGCCUAUGAUCAGGCCGCCUUUUCGAUGCGUGGCUCCGCGGCGAUUCUCAACUUUCCGGUGGAGAGAGUCCGAGAAUCGCUUAAAGAAAUCAACUAUGUCGCUUCGGAUUUGAACGGGGGCUCGCCGGUUGUGGCGCUCAAAAGAAAGCACUCCAUGAGAAGGAAAAUCGGGAACAAGAAGAGCAAAGUGGAGAGAGACGUGAGGAUAGAAAAUGUGGUGGUGUUUGAAGAUUUAGGCGCAGAUUACUUGGAAGAAUUGUUAAAUUCAUCUGAGAGCACAUGUGCCACUGCCACACCUAAUCGUUGAUUCAAAAACAUUAAUUCAACUUUCUUGUGUUCUUCUUUUUUUUUUUUUGGUGGUAAUUAUAUGAACCAUCAUCACUUUGAAAUCUUUGAUCUGUCUCUUCUCCAAUAUUUUCUUUUUUCUGUGAAGUUGCAAAAAAAGGAUAAGGAGUUACGUAUUUAUGUAUCCUGGUGUCUCAUUUGUGGCGCUCAAUUAAUUGAUCCUUAAGGUGAUUAGAUUUAAUAUUCUACUAGUCAACUAAUAUAGCUGGUCACUCUUAUCAUACACAAAAUGACAUUGCCACAUGCACGCGUGCUGUACGAACUCCAAGUUAAAUCACACUUAAUAGUAGUACUUCAAUCCUCACAUCUUUUUGCGUUUGGCUGGUUUUCCAUGAUCGGGAGAUUCUUAUAGUUGUCGUCAUGCAUUGCGUUAGACUCUUAUACAUAACGUAUAAUAUUUAAAUUAUGUGUGCAUUCUGUGUGCGCGUAUAAUGCAUUAGUUAGACUUUUACGUAUCGUGCGUGAAACUUGAAUACAUACCACUCACAUAAACAAGAAGUUUUCUUUCUUCGACGAGGCUACAAAAUUAAUAUUUUCCUUAAUAGAAUAUCAUAUACAUUGGUUGAUGAGCAAGGAGUGUGAAUAUUGUUAUUAUUAUCCUCCAAUGCCAAAGGGGCCAGGCUAUCAAAAUAUCAAGGAUGUAUACAUAUGAUAUGGCCCACGAGCCAUGACCAAAGAGCUGCAACUUGCUUGGUUAGUCCUCAGUUUCAAUCGAAUUAUUUUUGGUUUUUAAUGGCAGUUUUGUCUUUAAGCACUAAGCACUAGUAAGUGUGGACACCUGUAUAAACCUAAUCAAGCAAUUAGCUCGAGCAUUAUGCAAAUCAUAUCAACUAAUUAAAGCUUAAUUAUAUCUCCAAGUAAGUAGUUGUGUGGAGAAGGAGAAGAAGAAGACAAAACUGCCAUUAAAAACCCAAACUUGAACCACUUUGAACACUGUUUUGGUCCAAUUUCAAAGCAAAGAAGCUUCUGCGAGCAAUUCAGUCUUAGUAAUUUGGGUGGACAAUAUCUGCUACUUGCGACUUAUCUAAUUCAUUCAUCCUCGCAUAUAAUAAUACACAGAUUUAAUUCAUUUGAAUAUAUAUUAUCUUCACGUGGGAUCUAAUUUGGUUCUAUAAAACUAUCAUAAAUUGUGACCCUCCUUCCUCCGCUUCUUUUUAAAAUAUUUUUCUGUGGACCACAUGAUUUGUUUUCAAUAUCACGUAUAAACUUUAUUUUUAUCAUUAUAUCAAUAUUUAAAAAAGGUUACAAAUUCGAAUUCUCUUUUCUUUUCAAUAGAAACGAAUACCGCUAUCAUAUUGUUAGCCACAUACUAUGGUAAUUGGUGCGAUAAAAUAUGUAUCACUAUAAUUACAUGAUCAUGCAACGGCUUAAGCGGUUUAGUAUUCUGUCUAUGUCCACAGAGAGUACUUAAUAUUUAAACACAACUAACUAAUGAUAAUCCAUGGGCUGGCAGUACAUGAAUAUUAAUCUUUAAUUAAUUUUUAUUUGACAUUAUCCAUUCACAAAAGACGCUAGUAGCAAUAUUGUAAUUCGCAUGAAUGUUGAUAACCAUAAAUUUUGUCACGUGAUUCUCAAUUGCAACCGGUAAAAUUGAGGGUCAAAGUCCUGGCAGUCAAAAUCCAACCAAGUCAUUCAAGCCGCUUCCACGUCCUCUAGGAAACCUAAUUAAGCAUAAUAUUCAAUGGAAAAUCAUGAUUAGAAUUUGAUUAAGUGAGUUGUUUUAGUACGUAUGAUAUGGUUAGCUCAACUUGGCCACCUUUCAAGAACAGAGGUAAUGGGAAUAUUAGAAAUUCGAUCAGAUUCUCAUUUAACUAGACUUUUUUCAAGAAGGACUUGAAUUAUUUUUUUGGGUUAUCAUGAUCAUUGAAAUUUUACUAGUUCCUGCAAGUGUUGCACUGAUCAUGGAAAAGAUAUUGGGAUGACAUCGAAGGGUUUCCACCCUUAGGUCUAAUCUAACGGAGUUAGGAUUUGUGAAAUUAUGCUUUCUUGACUACAAGAGAAAAGAUAGAUAGAUUCAUCCAACACACUGCAUUUCAGACAUCCAUCUAAUCUGAUGACAAAAAGAUAGAUUCUUAAUUAAAGACGUCAAUGAGAAUAACUCAUGAUUAAAAGGUCGGGUACCACUAACAUACAUAAAUAUAAUGUGGACGGGGCUGGUACCAAAAUGACCGGGGCAUCGUCCUCUUCCUACCCCAGCCACCUCCCGCCGCCAGCCGCCGCGGAUUCGCCGGAAUUUGGAGAUGAAGCGGCCGAUGUCGUCCAAACUUCAAAGCCGCCGAUCUCCCUCCUCCGGCCACCAAUUCCGUCGACCCAGGUAUGGAUUUUGAACCUCUCGAGCUGCUCUAGCUGAUGGUUGGGUAGGAUUAGAUCGAUUCUUAGCGUAGCCAACUCGAUUUUCGAAUUGAAAAUCGGCCGAAACUUCGGCCGCUGUGAUCGGCCAUUUCCGGUCAGUUUUUGGGGUAGGUCCAAGAACAAAAGUGGCUCCAAAUAGGGUGUUCUACCUAGGGUAGGAGUUUGGAGCCGUGAUUUUGAGAUUUUCUGGUGAAGCGUUAUCGCUUUGGGCACCACGCGCUGCCGACGCGUGCGGCGGCGCGUGGGCAAGGUGGAAAAAGUAGCACUGUGUUCCGAUGAGAUCCUUAGGUUGUCACGAGUGUGUAGGAUUUCGCGGAUCUCAAUUCGGACGUCGUUUGACUAUCGAACGGAUAAUCGCAUAUUGUGCGUUAUCCGGGUUCGACAGGUUGGGACCGUUGGAUGGUCCUAAAUUUAAUAUAUGUUAAUCUAGGUAAUUCUAGGAUCGUGUAGGAAUUCACGGAUUGUGAAUCGGAGCCCCGGAUGUUCCGAAUAGUAAUUUUAAAGUUUAUAUUUUAUAUUAAUUGUCAGAUCGUGCGAUCGUGAACAAUCCGACCGUCCGAUCUGAACCAAACUCGCAGGACAAGUGUCCUAUACCUGGUAGAACCCAUAGGGACUUCCGGAUCGGAAAUUGGAGGUCGUGGGUUCCGCAGGCCCGUUUGACCAGGGUUAGAGUAGUUUGACCCUUGGUUGACCGUGAGCCACCCGGAGUAAUCUCACCUCUCCAGGGGAGAUUAUUGGGUGCUAGACUAUUGUGGAGGGUUACACAAUAUUAGAAUUAAUUUAUAUAAUUAUAAACAUAUAUUGUUGCACAAGGGUACAACAGAGUCUAGAAUGUCAGUUUGGAGUGCUAUACGCACUACUUUAGGUACCUCAUCGGAUUUUGGAUUCGCUACAAACACCAUCAAGUGAAGGUUAGGUCCCGCGUGGCGUAGGUUAUCCGGCGUUGGGACAGACCCCAUACGUGGCGUUGGUUGUACCGGCGUAUGGGGAGAUUUGCAAUAUGAUGUUCAGGUCUCACGUGGCGUAGGUUAUCCGACGUUGAGACAUGCCCCGUACGUGGCGUUGGUUGUACCGGCGUACGGGGAGAUUAUGUGAUAUGAUGUUGAGGUCCCGCGUGGCGUAGGUUAUCCGGCGUUGGGACAGGCCCCAUACGUGGCGUUGGUUGUACCGGCGUAUGGGGAGUUAUGUGAUAUGAUGUGCAGGUCUCACGUGGCGUAGGUUAUCCGGCGUUGAGACAGACCCCAUACGUGGCGUUGGUUGUACCGGCGUAUGAGGAGAUAUAAUGAUAGUAUGGCAUGGUCGCACGUGGCGUAGGUUAUCCGGCGUGUUGACAGGCCCCAUACGUGGCGUUGGUUGUACCGGCGUAUGAGGAGAAUAUGUGAAAUACAGAGAAAGGAAAUAAGGUAUCACCGAUGUGUGGAAUUAGAUUUUAGGGAAGAACUACGUGUGGCUUGAUCCCUCAAGGAGGGUACGUAGGCAGCCUAAGGUUAUUAGGUGCAGCCGCAGACUAAAUGUUAGUCAUAAUUUGUAUUUGAAUGGUUUGGUAGUUGGUUAAGAAUUAUUGGAAGGCCGAAGGCCAUUUGUGUGAAUUGCAUGAAAUUAUAUUGUGCAUGCUGCCAGUUGGGAAUAUUAAAUGCGUUUUUAUGCAGGUUGGAAUUUUGAAAAAUGUCCAAUUUAUAGGGGAGACUCUGCCGAAAUUUCGGCAGGACGUCUCGGUUUUUAGUAAGUGGGCCUGGCAUCGGGGUGAUGUCAGGAAUUGCAAAGGGUUCGUCUCGGGUUUUGAGAAAAUUCGGGGCGGGUCCUUAAAGCCGGAAUUGGUUUUUGGCUCCAAAAUCGUGCGACCAGUGGACAUUUCAUCGCGUAAAAUUAGAUGUCGGCUGCAUGUUGCUCGACGGGAUGUUCAAUUUGUGCGAUGCGAUUUGGCGUUUGCGCGACGAAAACUGAUGCAACGAAAAAAUAUUCAUCGUCGCCCUAAAGUUGGAUGUCGACGUGUACUUGCGCGACGAAAAGUUAGACUUGCGCGACGAAAGUGGGAGUUUUGCGCAACAAAAUAUGUUCUUUGCGCAACGAAGUAUCUAUUCGUCGCGCAAAAGUUAGUCUUCUUCAAAUCUGAGUUACGCCAUGGUAGAGGCAGAAAGCUGAGAAUUUCUGCCUCUGCUGCUGCUGCUUAUGCUAGGAAUUCACUACAUUUAGUAGGUGAGUAUAUUUUGUCAUUAGUUUGAGUGUAUUCAUGUAAAUUCAUACUAAUGCUAUUAAUUUCGUUCUUUGUAGAGAUAUUUUGUGUGAUUAGCGGUUGGUGGCACUACUACAAAAAAGAAAAAAGACGACGGUAAAUCACCGUCGUUGUUAAAAUAUACAACGUCAUCAACAAAUACAAAACGACGUCUUUGUACUGCAAAAAGAUUUAAAAAGCCAGUCGAGGAUGAGAAUAGACGACCAACUCUCUAAAAAAACCGUCGUUAAAAAGGAAAAAUUUGACACAUAUUAACAGAACAAGGCCGCAAGAUAGACAUACAACGACGAAAAUUAAAACAAGACGCCGUUAAAUAUCAUUUUCACGACAAUAAAAAAUAUGACGUCUUUAAAUACAUUAGAAGACGACGUUAUUGAUACCUACUACGUCGCCUAUAUAAAAACAACCGUCGUAAAAUAAAUUUUUCACUUCGAUUUUUCUAUAAAAGAUGACAUGGAAAUAGUUGUCAGUGUCAUUAUUUACGACGUAUGUAUUUAUAGAGUAGACGUUGAACAACGAAACAACGUCGGUUACAAAUAUAUGAGAGUCGUAUUACAAAAUUUAUACGUCCUAUUUUCAGAAACAAACAACGACGAUAAAUAUUAGACGUUGUUAAGUAAAACAACGUCGAAAACAAAUAAAAACAGACGUGUUUAGUCUGCUAAAGUUCUAAAAAAUAGUCGAGGAUGAGAAUAGACGACCAACUCAAACAAAUCAUCGUCGUUAAAAGGGAAAAAUAUGACACAUAUUAAAAGAACAAGGCCGCAAGAUAGACAUACAACGACGACAACUAAAACACUACGCCGUUAAAUACAAUUUUUACGACAAGAAAAAAUAUGACGUCUUUAAAUACAUGAGAAGACGACGUUAUUGAAAUCUACUACGUCUCUUAUUUACAAACAACCGUCGUGAAAUAAAUUUUUCACUUCGAUUUUUCUAAAAAAGAUGACGUGGAAAUAGUUGUCAGUGUCAUUAUUUACGACGUAUGUAUUUAUAUAGUUGACGUUGAAAUUCGAAACAACGUCGGUGGUAUUUAUAUAGUCGACGUUGUAUUUAUAUGUAUUCAUUACUCACGACGCACUUAUUAAUAUAGACGACGUUGAACUUCUAAACAACGUCGGUUCCAAAUAAAUGAGAGCCGUAUUACAGAACAUAUAGACGGCAUUGAUUAUGAUGAGAGCCGUAUUACAAAUAACGUCGUUUAAUUGAUAUUAGACGGCGGUUAUAAUGAAUUACCGUCGGAAUUCAUUUCGUUCCUCUUCGUUUAUAAAAGAACUUGCGACGUGGAAAAUGUAUGAUGACGUCGUAUUUUUUAACGUUCAGAUUAUAUAUCUCGUUUUUUAGACGUCGGUAUUAUGGGAUUGGAGUCGUGUUAUUUUGAAUUACAUGGCGGUUCUUAAUCCUUCCCCGACGUGAUAUCCUGAAUAAUUGCUUCACAAUAGCGUCGUGGUUCUUCAUUGUUACGUUGCUUUAAGACGUCGGUAAAUAUGCUGAAUAACUGGUUCACAAUAACGUCGUGUUUUAUUUGAACGUAGAAAGUGAAGAAAUCACAUUACAAUAUAUUACAAAAUUAAUGUCAUACACUGCCAAUUACAUAAGCAUCAUUCAAUCCAUAUAUCUUCACACCCAUCUCGAAUAUUUUGACCACCUAACUCACCCACCAGUUUAUCAAAUGUGUCAACAUUUGGCAUCCCUCUAGUAAAUGGCUCACACUCAAUUAUCACAUCACCUAAGACUUCAUCACCAAUAACAUCAUUAUAUUCUCUAUUAGGCAUUGAUAACACUACCGACCAACCACGAUGCAUCGGGUCGUCAACAAAAAAUAUUUGUUUGACUUGAGAAGCCAAAACAAAUUGGUCAUUCCUAUGUCCAAUUUUACUCAAAUCUACAAGGGUAAAUCCAAGUUCGUCGACUACAAGACCAGAACUAUCUAUCCAAUCACACCUAAAGACUGGGAUUGUAAACUUUUGGUAGUCAAGGUCCCAAAUUUCUUAAAUGACACCAUAGAAACCCAUAUUUGAGAGAAUUGAGUUUUUAUCCUUGGCACUAGCAACUUGCAUGGUAUGUGCAAGUAAAUAAACUCCACUAUUUUGAGUUGUCCGGACAUCAUCUUGUGCCUUGAUAUUGAAUUUAAUACCUUUAAUAAGAUAGCUCCUAUAUAAUGGCACUGCCAUGUUUGGACCAGCUGCUAGCCACCUAAAUUUUCUGAUACGCCAUGAUUGUCUUCCUCAAGUUCACUUUGAACCUGCAAUUAAUCAUAUCUUAUUUCAUCUAACAUAGAAAUAGAGAAAUUAAAGAGAAAUAUGUUAUUCAACACAUUUACCUUGAAGCAUAGCCAUUGAUGAAAGUGCUAUUGUGCUUCNNNNNNNNNNNNNNNNNNNNNNNNNNNNNNNNNNNNNNNNNNNNNNNNNNNNNNNNNNNNNNNNNNNNNNNNNNNNNNNNNNNNNNNNNNNNNNNNNNNNUUUUGCAACUAGAAUUCGAUGUCCGUGCAGGAGGUAUAACAACACGUUGUGGGAGACAAUUGAAAAUGUUCGAUUUCAUUUAGUAAGAAGUGGAAUGAUUGAGACAUAUAGCACUUGAAACUAUCAUGGGGAACAAUUAGACAAAGCUUCCUCUUCAAGGGCCACAAGAGUGGACAAUGUUGAACCUAUUUUGGAUUCUAAUGAACAAGUCAUGGAUAUUAUAAAUGAUGCUUUUCCAUUUGCAUUGACCAACAUCAAUCAAGAAGAGGAAGAUGACAUGUCUACACCAAUGGACAGUGCGGAGUUCGAACAGUAUGAAAAACUGUUAAAAAAUGCAAAUCAAGAGUUAUACUCGGCGUGCGAGAGUUUUUUCGUUCUUAUGGCCAUUGUGGAGCUAAUGCAAGGAAAAAUAAAGUAUCAUAUGUCGAACCAAUGUUUCGAUUACUUUUUGGGCCUUUUCAAGAGAAUGCUUCCGACGGACAAUUGUUUGCCGAAAAACCAUAGACACCCGCAGAAGGUCUUGAAUGGCCUUGGAUUGAGUUAUGAAAAAAUGUACGCAUGCAAAAAUAAUUGCAUGUUAUUCUACAAAGAGCAUGAAACAUUGGAUAUAUGCCCUAUAUGCAAUGAGUCGAGGUUCAAAAUGACUUCUCAUAAUAGAAUGACUAAGAUCCCACAAAAAGUUAUGCGUUAUCUGUCCCUAAAACCAAGGUUGCAACGAUUGUAUAUGUCAACGCAUACUGCCACAGAUAUGAGAUGGCAUAAGGAAAAACGGGUAGACAACGAUGUGAUGCGACAUCCUGCAGAUGGGGAGGUAUGGAAAGAGUUUGAUCGAACGUUCCUCGAGUUUGCUGCUGAUUCCCGAAAUGUUAGAUUGGGACUUGCCACUGACGGAUUCAAUCUGUACGGGGUUCUAAACCAACACCACAGCACUUGACCGAUUUUCGUAUUCCCAUAUAAUUUGCUGCCUUGAAAAUAUAUUAAAAAAGAAUACAUGAUGAUGACUGUUUUGAUAACUGAGGAUCCUGGCAGGUCAAUCGAUAUGUACUUAAGGCCGUUGGUUGAUGAGCUGAAGGAUUUAUGGACAAACGGUGUGCGCACGUUCGAUAAAUCGACUGGGAAGAUGUUCACUUUAUGGGCAAUAGUUAUGUGGACUGUGAAUGAUUUUCCCGCAUAUGCAAUGGUUUCUGGAUGGAGCACAAAGGGUUAUAUGGCAUUCUCUGUAUGCAAGGAAGAUGUAUGCCCAGCUGUCCUCUCGUCCCUCCAACUCCUUCGGAUGGUGGUGCAGGUCGCUCUUCCAUUGCUUGUACCUCUCAGCAAAGGGUCUGUUGACGUACGCUAUCGACUUAUCAUCGAGGUCCUCUACAUUGUAGUUCGUCUGCAAUUUAUUAAUUACAUACAUUAAGUAAUAGAAAUAUAGAAAGUUUGAACUUACAAAACAUUUAAAAGGUAGGAUACAUACCGACAACUGUCCGAGCACCUCCGUCCGCAUCUCCUCAGACAUGAACUUCCAAGACUUCCAUUGCAUAGGGCAAUAGGUCCGAACGACGUGCCCAACGUCGUGGGCCAAAGAUCUAUGCAAUUCAGCCGUUGGUGCAACUGAUGCCGCACGUCGUAUCCGAUGCUAAUACGACUGUUGGUCACUAGGGUGACCUUCGCCGUCUUCAACUGCCGACAAGGUCCACGGGUGUUCUUCUUGGCUGUAAAGAAAUAGAAAGUAUACUGUUAAUAGUAAUCAUACAAAAAUGUUGGACAACAACAGAUGGAGUCAAGGCAAUCUUUACCUGGCUGUGAUCUGACGCACAAGUACGUCUAUCGAUGCUGUGUCACUCAUGCUGGGGGGCGGUGACGACGUUUGGCACGAAGAGGUUGCGCCACAGAUGAUGCAGAUGACGCCGAGGGAUCACGAGGCAACUGCUCCAUCUGUGAUGGAGCAGUGAUAGCAGCAGGCUGAGCCGGAGGAGGCGAACUUUGUCCAGUGGUCACCGCCUUACUGCUUCGAAUAAGGUUUGACAUCUUGGCCAAGGAAAAACAUGUAACAUUUAAUAAUGUUUUAGGCAAAGCAUGUAACGUAGUUAAUCUAAUUGGGUUAACAUGUAACGAAAUAAAAAUAAAUAUUGAAACAACUAAUAAAACAAAAACAUAUCAUAAUUAUUAACAAACAUAAUUUUUUUUUUUUCCAAUUUAACAAUCUUAACUAAUUUUAAUUAAAGCAUAUCUUGUCUGGGGGUUAGCAAUUCCGGAGUAUCCGGGAUUCCGAUCGAAAAUCAAUCGAAUCCAAUACGAUCCUAGAAAUACAUGGAACAACAUGCGUGAUUUUUAGUUUGAUCCAACGGUCCGAACACAUCAAACCCGAAAAUUGCAUAAUAGGCGAAAUCUACUCUACACUGAAACGGUAACCAAAUUGAAAUCCUAACACACCUACGCGCUCGUGACAACUAGGGGAUCGCAGUGGGACACAAUGUCCCUCUGCUACAGUACCCACGCCCCGCCACAUGCGUCGGCAACGCAUGGAGUCCAAAGCGAUAAGGAUCGCAGGAAAUUUCACAAAAUUACAGACCAAGCUUCCUACCCUAGGUUCAAAACAACAAUUGGAGCCACUCUGGUUCUUGGGCCUACCCCGAAAAAUGGCCGGAAGUGGCCGGAAAUUCAAAUAAAAAAUUGGCUGAUUUAUUUUCUACAAAUUCACAUACCAAAACCAAAAAUUCAUAAAACCCUAUCCAACCAUCAGCUAGAGCACAAAAUUUAGUCGAGAAUGCAUACCUCAAUCGUCUAGUUUCGUGGCCAGAGGAGAGAGAAAUUGCCCAACGAAAAUCUGCCCAAUUCCGACGGUGUUGCGGCGGCGGAAGCGGUGUGCUUCGAAGGGGUGGUCGGCGGAAGGGCUAUGUGUGGGUUGAGGAGGCAGGACGUGGCGGUUAUGGUGGGAGGGCUAUCGGGAGAAAGAGGGAGGCGAAGGAAGGAGAUAGACCAAACCAGGGGUCAGUCGUGUUUUUCAGAAAAUUUACAAGCCUUUGAGCGACGAAGACUUAAACCGUCGUGCAACAUAUAUUUUUCUAACCCUUACGCGACAAUAAAGCUAAAACCGUUGCGCAAAAACGUCGUGCCACUCAAAAUUUUGGACCCUUGCGUGAUGAGAAAGGUGAAACUGUCGCGCAAGGCCGUCACCCUGCCCAAAAUUUCACACCUUUGCGUGACAAAAAACACAAACCGUCGCGCAAGGACGUCUGGCCGCCCAAAAUUUCAGCCCCUUGCGCGACAAAAAAAACCCAAAUCGUCGCUCAAGGACCCAAAACCCAAAAAAUUUCAGCCCCUUGCACGACAAAAAAACCCAAACCGUCGUGCAAGGACCCUAAACCCUAAAAAUUUCAGCCCCUUGCGCGACGGUUAAGCAUGAACUGUCGCGCAAGGACGUCAUGACGUUCCAAAUUUCAGACCCUUGCGCGACGACAAUUUAUCCGUCACGCAAAACGGAAACCCUGAUCCGUGAACCCUAAACCCUAAAGCCACAGUUAUACCAGAUAGCGACGAAGCUUCCGUCGUCGCAUAAAGAUAUGCGCAACGAAUAAAUUCUUUCGUCCCGCAAAACAAAUAUGCGCGACAGUUUUCUCCAUUCCACUAACGUGUGCGCGACAAUUUGCCCCGUUCGUCACGCAAAAUUUUUUUAAAAUCAUAUUACUGAAUUCCCUUUUAAAUGGAAAAAAAGUGGAUGUUCCUUGCCAUUAUUUUGAAAAAAUGAUUAGAAUGUGGAUCAUAAGGUCUGAAUUGAAUUAGGAUUGACCAUUUUCAAUUUAACAAAGACUUAAUUACUCAUCCACAACAUAGCCGGUAUAUUAUGUAUACGUAUCAAGUUAGAGUACAUUAACUUGUACAAACUCACCACAAUGUCAAUGAGGCAUAUUGUUUAUAUAAGUAUUGCUAUAUACGUAUAUUUCCUCCAUGUACACACAUACAUUAUAUAGAUGGCAUGCACAUAUAUAUAUUUAUAUAAAAAAAACCUUCAUACUUAUAUAUACAUUAUAUAUUUAUAUUUAUAUAAUUGUAUAACAUAUAAAUUUUAUAAAAUCGUAUUAAUAAAUUCCCAUAAAUAUUUAUAUAUUCUUAUAUUUCUAUACACACGAAAUAUAUAUAUAUAUAUACACACACAUAUACAGUGUAUAUUAUAACUUAGUAUAAUGUAUUAUAUACUUUGUCUAUAUUUAUAUAUAUAUAUAUAUUUGUGCGACGACACAUGUAUUGGUCACGUUAACAUCUCUUGCGCGACGAAAUAAUCCUAUUUGUCGUGUGAAGGUUCCUUGAGCGACAAUACAAAUUUAUUAUACAUUCUCGAUGAGGGUCUUGCACAUCAUAAAACUAACCAAUAUAUUACUUAGUUGGGAUUUGAUAUUACAUAAGCAUGGAUGCGAGAGAAUUUUGAACAUGCUCAAUCACCUAUAAGAGACGGAACAACUACUUGUCCAUACAUAUUGACAUGAGCAGUAAUUUCUUACUAAUAUUGUAGUAUGAUAUACUAUAAGUAAUUGGUCAGACAAGUGCAGUGAAAUGAGUUGCCAACAACUCUUAUUUAUAGCAACUAGCCCAUACUAAACAAGUUUAUACGAAUAGUUUAUUAUGGUCGUGUGAUGGUGGUCGACUUCUUGGAGGGGAUUGUGGAUAAAUUCUUCGAUGGGGUGGUGGCAUACUUCUUGGAGGCGGACUUCUUGGAGGGGGAGGUGGGGGACUUCUUAGAGAUGAUGGUGGCGGANNNNNNNNNNNNNNNNNNNNNNNNNNNNNNNNNNNNNNNNNNNNNNNNNNNNNNNNNNNNNNNNNNNNNNNNNNNNNNNNNNNNNNNNNNNNNNNNNNNNNNNNNNNNNNNNNNNNNNNNNNNNNNNNNNNNNNNNNNNNNNNNNNNNNNNNNNNNNNNNNNNNNNNNNNNNNNNNNNNNNNNNNNNNNNNNNNNNNNNNNNNNNNNNNNNNNNNNNNNNNNNNNNNNNNNNNNNNNNNNNNNNNNNNNNNNNNNNNNNNNNNNNNNNNNNNNNNNNNNNNNNNNNNNNNNNNNNNNNNNNNNNNNNNNNNNNNNNNNNNNNNNNNNNNNNNNNNNNNNNNNNNNNNNNNNNNNNNNNNNNNNNNNNNNNNNNNNNNNNNNNNNNNNNNNNNNNNNNNNNNNNNNNNNNNNNNNNNNNNNNNNNNNNNNNNNNNNNNNNNNNNNACGAUUGUUGGGUGGUGGUGGUGGUGGUGGAUUACUUGGAGGGGGUGGAGGCGAUUUGUUGGGUGGUGGCGGAUUGUUUGGUGGUGGUGGUGGUCUUAGAAAAAUAGGGGGUAGUAUCAAUGUAAUAGCACUAUUAGGUAUAGUACUAGUAGGUGGCUUGAGUUGCUCAUGAUGUUCUUCAGCAAGACAUGAAGUGAUGAGAACCACCACUCCCAGCAAUAGCACAAGAAAUUUUAAGUAACUCAUCUUUGAGCUUAUGAAGUUACAAAGAUCAUAUGGAGCAUCCUUUUAUAGUGGUAUGGGUGAUUGGUAAUUGUAUUUAUAAUUUUGCUAAAUAGGGUGGUUGGUGAUUGUUAUAGAUUAGAGGUCCAUGCAACAUUAAUUGAGAUCAUAAGUUGGAGAAUUUGGGCAGUUGCUUGUUUGAUAUAUGCUAGAGAACGUUCAAAAUGUAAUGCAUAUUGGUUUUUUAUUUAUUUAUUUAUUUAUUUAUAGUAUAAGUGAUAUUAUAAACUACAGGAGAAUGAGAUUUCUCUUAUAUACACACAACUACGAUGUAGGAUUUAAAUAGAAAAACUCAUACUCUUAUCAUUGAGCUAUGAACUAGCAGAUAUUAAAUCUUACUCGUGUCAAAAGAGUUUAGGCUAAUUGCCCACUCUGAAAUGAAUGAGAAUGAGGGAGAUAAAAUUGUCAUAAAAGGACAGAACAAAAUAAUACAUAAGUUUUCUAAAAAUAAUAAUACAUAAUUUUUUAACAAAAAUAGCAACGGGCAUCCUUUUUUCUUCUUCUUUGGUUUGGUCCUCCCGUUCUAUUCACGGCAAUACCACUGAGGUGAUUGAGAAAUAGGCAUUGACAAUAAUACAUAAAUUUAAAGUCUAAACUCCAAGCUUAGCUUAGGGUUAAGUAUCCAAUAUUAAAGUUUAUGUCUUCCCUUGUGCUGCUGGUAGUAUUCAUCCACUCUUCAAAAUAUAGGAAGUAGAGUUGGGGGUUUGGCAUGAUGAGGUGGUGGUGGUGGUCUCACUAUAGGGGUUGUGUGGUCAUCAAAACCCUUUUAAUUUCCACCAAAACCCUGAGAUUGACUUUGUUGGAAAAUUUAAUAUUAACUAAUAUUGAUUUUCCUAUUUGAAUGGAAAUUAAUAAAAUUUAUUGGGUUAAAGACAUGACUCUUGGGUUAAAGACAUGACUCUUGGGUUAAAGACAUCUUCACAUGGGAGGUGACAACUUUUCAGACCAAGGGAUGCAUUGUUUGCCUUUUCAGAUUGAGAUACCUUUUUAGAAAGGGUAUUUCAUCAUCUAUAAAUAGAGCAAUCCUCCUGCAGUUUUAUUCAUUCAUGUUAAUUCUCUACAUACAGACUUUCACAUAUAGAAAGCAUUAGAGUUUUCAUAAAGAGAGGUUCCUGCAUAAUUUGGUUCAAAGUUCCUUGUGAAUUGCAGUGCUUCUUUCACAAGGAGGGGAGUCGUUGUAUCCUGAGAGGUGAACGCUAGUGAACCAUAAGCACCGUUGUGGGGCGUAAUUCGUCUUAAGGUCAAAGUGUCCAACACUUGCUUCGACUCAAUCAAGGUUCUUCUAAUUCAAUUCUCCUUUUGUAAAAAUCUAUUUUAUGUGCAGUAUUUAUUUUGUUUAUUUAUAGCAAUUUAGCACUCAUAUUUCCAACAGACUUGAUUGCCCUUCAAAAAGAAGAUUUCUCUGUAAUCCAUGUGAUAUUUGUGUGAUGAACUAACUCUUAGUCGAGUAGUAUUUAUUUUCCUAAUACAAAAAGAUGCGUCGAAUUGAAACCCUGUUCCUCUUAAUUUCCCCCUCAAACAGUUUGAGGGUAAAGUUAGUCUUAUGAUAUUAUGACUGUAGAGAGCUAGAACCAAGCAAAACAUUUUGUAUAUCUUUUCCUGUUUCUGGGUUUUAGGUUUAGCCCUUCCUUUUUUGGUUCGUUAGGCUCUUGGUUUCCUUUUAUUUUUUGGGCCGACGGAUUGAAUGUCAAAACCCAAAAUAUGUAAGUUCCAUAUACAUUUUCCAAACGAAUCUUAUGAUCUAAAUUGAAGAAUUUUAUGAUCUAAAAUUGUUGGUCGUAGGUAUUUUAUGGUUGGAGCCCUUCUGUUGUUCUUUGGGCUCAAGUUUAUUUACUUAUUUUGGGCUAUUUAUGACUUUUUGGGUCCCUUUCAAUUGAAGGGUCACUCUCAAAUAGAACAUAUUAUUGCUGGAAAUAGUUUUGCUCGUGAAAAAUAAAGAAAUUCGGUUUGCUGGAAAUAGCCAUUGACAAUAAUACAUUUUAAAGUCUUAAACUCUAAACUUAGCUUCGGUUAAAUAUUCCAUUAAUGGCAGAAUGUUAAGGCUAAAAGUGUAGGAAUGCCAGCCAAAGGGUAUUAUUAACUAGGGCUGGCAAUGGGUCGUGUCGUGUCGGGUUCGUGUCGUGUCGGGAUAAUAAACGUGUCAAGAAUGCUCAACCCGAACCCAACCCAUUUAAUAAACGUGUCGUGUCGGGUUCGGGUCGUCUUUUAUCGUGCGGGUUUCGAGUCGUGUAACGGGUUCAUAAAGAAUAACAUGCAUGUUACAAAACUCACAACCGAAAAAAUUUUAAUUAAAAAAAACAGAGAGAGUGGAGAAAAUAUAAGGAAAAGAAAGAAAGAAAAAAGAUAGAGAGAGGAGAGAAGAGAGAAGGAAAAGAAAGAAAAAAAAAUAGAGAGAGAGAGGGGGAGAGAGAGAGAGAGAGGAGAGAAGAGAGAAGGAAAAGAAAGAAAAAAAAAUAGAGAGAGAGAGGGGGAGAGAGAGAGAGAGAGGAGAGAAGAUUGAAGGAAAGAAAGAAAGAAAAAAGAGAGAUGAGAGAAAACUAAAGAGAAGGAAAAAAAAAGAAAAAAAAAAGGAGAGAAGAGGAAAGGAAAAGAGAAGAAAAAAAAAAGAGAGAGGAGAAGAAAGAAGGAAAAAAAAGAAAAAAAAAAUGGAGAAGAGAGACGGAAAAGAAAGGAAAACUCAAAAGAAAAAGAAACAUUAUAAAUAUCAAAAGGCAUACCAUAAAAUCACAAAGUUAGUUGUAGCAUGGUGGAUAAGUUGUUUGAGAAAAUGAGGAUGGGAGGGGUUCGAAACCCCUUGUGUGUGUGUUGAAGUCUCCAUUUGUCUUUAUUUUUUAGCGGGUUAGAGGGUUGUACACGGGUUGACACGACCCGUGACACGACCCGUUUAAUAAACGGGUUAGAUAGGUAUUAUAGCGGGUUAGCGGGUUGACUCGAAACCCACCCGUUUAUUAAACGGGUCAGAACGGGUUGACCCGAAAUUGACCUGUUUUUUUAUUGUGCGGGUUGAACCCGCUAAUUUCUCGUGCGGGUUUCGAGUCGUGUAUCGGGUCGUAUCCGAAAUUGCCACCCCUAUUAUUAACUGCGUCCAAGAAGCAUACUAAUAUCUUCUUUAUACGUCUGUGAGUCAUUAGUGAAUCUUAAUUGGUAUCAUGCUUUAUGCAUGGUUACUUACUUUGAUAUUCAAGGAGUAGAAGAAAUAAAUUUAUUGUGGUGUGGUAAUUUAAAUCAUGAAUAUAUAUAUAUAUAUAUAUGCAUGGAGCUUCCGUUAAGCGAUUCCUUAAAUAAGUUUAUUUGAGAUACACUCUUGUAGGGCCCACCAUACAUUGUAAUUCAUUAAUCCCAAUCAUCUUUGAAAAAAAUCACUUGAAUCCGAUAUCAUUUGAUCACUCAAUUAAAUUAUUGAAAUUUUAAUAAUUUCUUGACGCACCGUGUUCAUUGAUUUUGUAGGACACAAUUAGAUGUCUAAAUGGUUUCUGAUUUAUGUAAUUUUUUGCAAAGAUGAUUUAUAAAUGAAGAUUUCAAAAAUAGAUGGUUUGGAUUGUUAGAAAAAUAUUCGUAGGAUACCCUAAAGGUUCUACUUGAAAUAAAAUUAUUUGAGGGAUCUCUCAAUAGAAGGAUUGAAACACCUGAUUUGCACUAUCUCUGGAGCAAGACUAUUACAACUUGUUAAUUCAAAUUCAACAGAUUUACGCUAUAUACAUAAUUGUAAUCGUAAUCAUAUGAUUCAAACUUGAAACCCCAUUCAACUAAGUGAAUACAGCUACCCAUAAAAUCAUAAACUAGUUGAUACCAUAAUUAUUUAAUAUAAACAAAUUUUGAAUCCGUAUUUUCUGUUUAGUACCGUGCCUUUAUGCUGCUUUGUUCAUAUACUUGUAGUCUGCUAGUGAUGAAAAUGUUUGAGAUUAAAUUUAUUGAAGAUUUCCUGAUUUUGCUAGUUCUGUUUGCCAACCGAUUAUAAUUCUUUGUAUGUUCUGAAACCUUUGUUCAACAUGGUGGGUUUUAUAAUUUAGAAUAGAAGCUUAAAUUUUAUGAAUAAAACUUACUCACUUGGGAAAUAAUUGUUUUUUAAACAAAGAGAAUCUGAACAUAUGCUCCCUCGGAUACAAAGCAAAUUAGAACACCAACUUGUCCAAACAUAAUGAUGAUGACAUGAGCAUUGGUUACAAACACUAAUAAUUAGUUUAUGGUCAUUAAUUUGGAUGAAUAUGUGGUGUUGAGUUUGGGGUGUGGGGUUGUCUUGUAGUAUGGGGGCAGCUUCUAAUUAUAUAUGGAGCUGGAGUGAAUUUAAUAUAUAUCUUUCCCUGUGCUGGUAGGAUUCAGGACUCUUCAGUAUAGGAGGUAGAGUUGGGGGUUUGGCAUGAUGAGGUUGUGGUCUCACAAUGGGAGGUGAAGAACUUGGUGCUUUUUUUAAUAUAAUAUAAUUAUAAAUUAAUUUAAUUUACGGAGAAGGGAAUUUGAGCUUCAGUGCAGGAGGGGCCGGCUUACUAUCCUAGCCAAUUGGCUUACAUCUGUAAAGAACUUAUUGAUUUGACAGGUGGCUCUACUAUGAGAAAAACUUAUAUGAAACAGGGAUAUCACGGUUUUGCUAUCCCUAACCAAUUAUGCUAUGCCAAGUGGAAAAGUUAUCACGUGUGGCAUAGCAUGAUUGAUAGAGGAUAGCAAACCAGUGCUAUACCCAUUGCACAUAAGCAAGGUCUAAAAUAUCGAGAAAAUAUUGGACUCGUUCAAGGUUAAAGAAAACUUAAAAAACAUUAGCCUCUCUCUCUCUCUCUCUCUCUCUCUCUCUCUCUCUCUCUCUCUCUCUCUCCUUGCCGACAACCAACCUUUCUUAAGCUAGGGGAGGUGUCCACUGCCGCUCCUCCCCUCUGCCCAUCUUCUCCAUUCCUAUCCUCUCUCCCAUCUUUUUCCAUUCCUCUCAUCUUUUUUCUCCCUCUUUCCACUUUCCUUAGGGCUCUUGCUGGCCCUUAUCUCCCAUUCCUCUUCUCCUCUCUAGAUAUACUUAGAUCUUGGGCUUUUAGCCUUGAUUUAUUUGGAUCUAGGUAUGUUUGUGUGUUUUUUUUGUUUGGCUAUUUUUGCACUGUUCUAGGUGGCUGGUGUUGUCUUCAUCUCGGUGGCUACAUGUAACAUCCCACAUCGACUUACGAAGAGGGGAUGAUGUGACUUAUAUGUACAUGCUCACCUCCAUCUAGCACGAGGCCUUUUGGGAGCUCACUGGCUUCGGAGUCAUGAGAACUUCGAAGUUAAGCGAGUUUGGGCUAGAGUAAUCUCAGGAUGGGUGACCCAUUGGGAAGUUGCUCAUAAGUUCCCAGAAACAAAAAUCGUAAAGGCAGGGGGCCCAAAGCGGACAAUAUCGUGCUACGACCGAGCCGAUCAGGAAUGUGACACUGCAACAGUAGUGACGCUGGAUUGGGUCUCUCUCUUUAGGAGAGUUGGGAUACUUGGUGACUAAUAUUUUGUCUUUGUUUCAACGAUCGCGGCAGCAUCGACGCUGGUUGUAGUUGUUGGCAUGUGGUGGUGUGCCCUCUGAGGGGUUUCGUCUUCUGUUUUAGCAUAUGUUUUGUUGUCAUUUUCCAUUGUUUUGUUGCUCAUUUGCAGCUUGUCUCUACUCUGUGCAGCCCAAAGACCUAUGUUUGGUCAUAUGAGUUCCUUUGUCAUGUUCUAAGUUGAGUUGGAGUGCUUUUAAGAGGCCUCUCUUAUUAUUAUUUCAUGCUCUUCAACUGUGUGCUUUCUUGGGUUUCUGUCAUUUGUGUGUUUUUGUAGUUCGUAGGCAGUUAAAUGACUAUGAGUUUAUCUCAUAAAAGGCUUCUUUUGACAAUUGGGAUGCGAUGCGGUUCUCUUUAUGGGUCUAUUGUGUUAGUGUUUAAUUGAUUUUUUUUUUUCUGUUCUUGUAAUGGUCUUUUGUGGUUCAGGUCUUAGUCCUUGGCAUGUGUAGUACUCUUUCCUAUCCUAGGGUUUGUCUAAAGUGGUUUUCCUAAUAAGGUUUUAAUUAGGCUAUUGUAUUCAUACUAGUCUUUGUAUGCCGUUUUGGCUUAUUAAUGAAAUCUUCUUCUAUAAAAAAAGGUCUAAAAUAUCAAGGGUUUAGGAAAUAUCGGAGGUCCAAAAAUACGGAAAUAUUGGGAAAUUAUCGAUAUCGAGAAAAAUUGAAUAAAAACCACUGAAACUGUAAGAAAAUUUUGAUUCAAACUUUAGAGGUUGUUUAUUUUGUCAAUUAUCUAUUAUUUUGAUUUAUUUAAGUUGAUUAUAUAGCGAGCUAACAAACAAUAUGAGUGCAGAAAAUAUGUAGUAAUUAAUGAAAAAAAUUAAAUGCCCAUAAUCAUUUAUUCAUAAUGAUUUACUAUAAUAUUUUACACUUUAUAUAUUGCAUGGUAAGAUGCACAAGUGACUUAGUACCACAUAGAGUUCCUAUGAGGUUCAAAAUUUUCAUUGUCUUCAUCGUCUCUAUGUGUAGAGUACGUGUACUAUGAAGAGUAGUCAUCAAAUGGUAAAUUCCCAAAAUAGCUUUGCAUGUAAUUGUUAACAUGUCACCCAUAAAGAUCCAAGAUUGGUUGACGUUGCCCAUAAGCAAAAUCAUUUGAAGAUUGGGCAUCAGAUUCUUUUCAUGAGCCGCUUGAUUCUAUCCCAAAAGGCAUGGGAUACGAAGCAUAAGGAAAGAGUUGGUUUUGCAUAUAAUAAAGUCAUUAGCAGUGUGGAGGAUAAGGCAUUGGAGGAAGAAUUGAAGUGGCACGGGUUCGAAUCCCCAUGCUUACACGCGUACAAGCCUUUUCAAUUUUUUUUUUUCUAUUCCAUGUCCAUAUUGCAUUAUUAUCACUAUUAUCACGAUAUUUUGAGCAAAUGUUGAUGUUAAUUGAAGGAUAUUAUUAGUGUCGAAAUUUUCCCAAAAUUUUCACGAUAUUAUCUAUAUAUAUAAAGCAAAAGGCAGAGAAUGGUGAAACAUUCAAAAUACCAGAAAAUGCCCUUGGUUAAUACAAACAUUAAGAAUUGAAAUUAUUAAUUAAAUGAGGAUAAUAUGGUAAAUUCAUAAUUUUUCGUAUUAAAAAAAUUAAAAUUAAAAGAAAAUUCAGAUAAUAGGUCCUAUUUUUAUGGAACACAAAUAUCCAUUAUCUUUUUUAAUUCUAAAAUAAAUUUAAAUUUUUUUUAAAAAAAACCUCUCGCAUGCGCGGAAGCGCGUGUAGAGAGGCUAGUCUAUAUUUAUAUGAUAAGUACACAGAUCUGUUCCAAAAUAUCCCCUUGCCGAAAAACGAUAAUAUCCUCAAUAUUUCAGCGAUAUUAUCGAUAUUUCAGUCCUUGCACACAAUUAAGUUUCUCCUCUACUAUAGCACAAUCUCCAAACAAUAGCACACGCAACUUUGAGAAACUUUUGAAAGCAAUUUUCCAUCAAAAUCCUGAUAUUGAUUUGAUUGCCCUCCACAAGAAAACAUUCUAUGUAAUCAAUUUGACACGUGUGAUCAUAUUGCCCUUAAUAUAUUAGUACUUUUUUUCUUCUUCUGAAAACAAGAAGAGGUUUCAAAUUUAAAUCCCUUUUCCGUUAAUUUUUUUUUAAAAAUGAUGUUGGUGUAGUGCCUAUUAAAGAUGGCUUGGCGGUAAAGUUAGUCUAAUGAGAUUCUAAGAUAUAGAUGGAUUGUUUAGUUCAAGAUUUAGGAGCUUAGUAAUUGGUAUGAAAUUGCAUUCCCAUAUUUGGUAAAUGCAUUUUUUAGAAUGCAAUACCUAACUCAUUAGUAUGAAAUUCUCAUGUAGAGAGAAUUUCAUACCUUUAGUGCUCCUUGGGAAACUCUUCGUCUAUUGACCCUUAAAAUAGGGUCUAGUCUAGUGGAAAAGAGCAUUGACUUGCAGGUCAGUUGUCUCAUGUUUGAAUCUAGAUGGCACUUUGGAUGUGAGAAACCCUUUUGUAGGACUUAGACUAUCAAUAAUAUUAAAAUAAUACUAAUAAUAACUCAAGGGUGUUACUGAAAAACUGAAAAACUGAAAACUGAAAAACUUUUCAUUUAUAAUACUACACGAACCACACAUAGGAAUGCGAGAAAAUGGCUUUUCCUAAUUCUCACUUCCCAGCGUUCCCAAUCAUGGGAAUGAACAUCCGUCAUUCCCAUAUCGUAGGAUUAGACAUGGAAAUUUCAUUCCCAUGAAAUUUGCAAACCAAACGGGACAGAGAGUUGGAACAAUGCAAAGAUUUUGUUUAUCUUUUGGUUGGGCCAAUAAGUUUCUGGGCCUCCAUUUAUUGUAUCUGGGCCGUUAGAUUUCGGCCUCCCUGUUCUGUUUGUAACCCAGCGGAGGUUGGAGCGCUUUUCUUGUUCUUUGGGCUUAGUUAUAUUUCCUUGUUCUUUGGGCUAUUUCUAAAUUAUUUGGGUUGUGCCUUUUUCUGCGUUUGACGUCGUUUAAUGUUUAAUUUGUUUGAUUUUUGAGUUGGAGCUGGUUGGGUCCUUCUCAUUUGAAGGUAGGGUCAGUCUCAAAUGGAAAAUAUUAUUGCUUGAUGUGAAAAAUAAAGAAAUUCGGUUUUGUGGGCUUAUGGCCUAAAUUAAUUGAGGAAUAAUGCCAUUCAAAAGACUGAAUUAACAUGACCCACAUUUUUCCAUCCUGGAAAACUUGUUCCUUAAGCAGAUCAUGGCUACUGAUGAAGUAAAGAAGAAAGGGAUGCUUAAAAAGAGAUAUAUAUAUAUAUAUAUCAAAUGAGCCAAGAAUUAAUGAAAUUUUGUAAAACUGAGAUUACUGAAUUACUUGAAAAAGGAAUAAUCUGUAAGAUUAGUCACCCUGGUCUUGUCCUGCUUUCUAUGUCCAGAAAAAUGCUGAAUUAGAACGCGGAGUCCUAAGAUUAGUCAACCCAAGUGGCUGGUUUAGAUUUUCUGAGUCAAAAGAGUCUUUGAGCACAGCUUCAAGAAAGUCACUCCAGUUGAAUUAUGAGAUUCCUAAAGCCCAUGUCUGUCAAAAUAAAAUCUGUUUUAAGACUUCUUUUGUCUUAGUUAAGAACAUUACUGAUGAAGUCAUCCUAGGUUUAUCCUUUAUUGCCCUUUUAUAUCCUUUCCAGGUAGAACACGAUGGAGUCAUUUCCACCUGUUUAGGAGAAAAGGUUAAGUUUGAAUUCCUUAGUAAACCAGAGUUACAUAAUUUAAAAGAAUUACAAAAGAAUGCAGUCACUAAAACAAUCAGAGUCAUUCAAAAUAAAGAUAAGCAACUAAAAUUCCUCCAGGACGAAGUUAAAUAAAAAAGAAUUGAGCAACAGCUUAGUCAUGAGUCUUUACAGUCACAAAUUCGACAGUUUGAAGAAAAAUUAAAACAAGAAGUUUGUUCUGAGUUGCCCAACGCCUUUUGGCAUAGGAAACAGCAUGUAGUCAGCCUUCCUUAUGUCAAAUCCUUUAGUGAGAAAAAUAUCCCCACUAAAGCCAGACCAAUUCAAAUGAGCCAAAAAUUAAUGGAAUUUUGUAAAACUGAGAUUACUGAAUUACUUGAAAAAGGAAUAAUCCGUAAGAGUAAGUCACCUUGGUCUUGUCCUGCUUUCUAUGUCCAGAAAAAUGCUGAAUUAGAACACAGAGUCCCAAGAUUAGCCAUUAAUUACAAACUGCUUAAUACUGUUUUAGAAUGGAUUAGAUAUCCAAUCCCCAAUAAAAGAGAUUUAAUUAAUCGUUUAGAGAAGUCAGUCAUCUUUUCUAAAUUUGAUAUGAAGAGUGGAUUUUGGCAAAUCCAAAUUUGUGAGUCUGAUAGAUAUAAAACUGCUUUCGUUACCCCAUUUGGUUAUUAUGAGUGGAAUGUUAUGUCAUUUGGUCUUAAAAAUGCACCCAGUGAGUUUCAAAAUAGAAUGAAUGAGAUUUUUAUUCCAUUUAAUCACUUUUCCAUAGUCUAUAUUGAUGAUGUACUUAUAUUUUCUGAGUCAAUAGAACAGCACUGGAAAAAUUUGCAUAAGUUCUUACAAAUAGUCAAACAAAAUGGAUUAGUCGUAUCUGCUAAGAAAAUUAAGUUAUUCCAAACUAAUGUGAGAUUUCUUGGGUUUAAUAUCUGUCAGUCACAGAUUAGCCCCAUAGAUCGAGUUAUCCAAUUUGUUGAUAAAUUUCCUAAUCAAAUCCUAGACAAAAGUCAACUCCAGAGAUUUCUAGGAUCUCUAAAUUAUGUUUCUAAUUUCUAUAAGAAUUUGAGAAAACAAUGUAAGCCUUUAUUUGAUCAUGUAUGGAGACGUCUAAUGAUAAGAGGCAACUGGAAGAUUAGACGGAGCAAUAUCUUGGAAGGGAUCAUGACUGGAUAUUAGGGCAGACUGAAAACUGGGGCGAACCUGGCCGACUGUGGCUCCUAGGUUGGCAAAUCUGUUACUAAUUUGGAUGGGAGAAAAUCCCUGAAAGGGGAGGAUCUGAGCAGGUGACUCUUGUUUGGCUUGACUCAUUGAUGGAGGGAGGACUCGGAGUGACUGGGGUUGACUAGACUGACCAACUUGACUCUUUUGCUUGUCUUUUUCUUUUCUUCUUUAUGCCAUUGUUUUCCCUGCAGGAAUUCUCUAGUAAGAAAAUCAGGGACAAAAUAUAUAUAUGGAGUUUGAGUUGAGGGAUCUCUCAAAUAAGCUUAUUUGAGAGACAACUUGUAGGGUACACUCUUUGUUGUAUUUCACUAAUCCUAACCGUCUAUUUUUUAGAUAUUCAUUCAAAGAUCAUCUCUACAAAAAAUCACUUGAAUCCAAUAUCAUUUGACAAUUCAAUUGAAAUAUUGAAAUUUUAGUAUUUUCUUGAAGCACUGUGUUAAUUAAUUUUGUAUGACACAAUUGAAUAUUGAAAUAGUUUCCGAUUUGUCCAAUUUUUUUUCAAGGAUGAUCUAUAAUUGUAGGCUUAAGAAAUAGAUGGUUUGGAUCGUUGAGGGAUCCCUCAAAUAAUCUUAUUUAAAAGACACCUUUGUAGAGCUCACUCCACAUUGUAUUUCACUAAUCUAAACCGUUUAUUUUUUAGAUAAUCAUUCAAAGAUCACCUCUACAAAAAAUCACUUGAAUCCGAUAUCAUUUGACAAUUCAAUUGAGUUAUUGAAAUUUUAGUACUUUCUUAAACUACCGUGUUCAUUGAUUUUGAAGGACAUAAUUGGAUUUCGGUUUCUAUUUGUCAAAAUAUAUAUAUAUUGAACUACUUUUUGUUGCCAUUGUCUGCUGCUAGAUUCACACACACAUAUAUAUGCUCUUCCAUUGAUGAAGCUGGCAUUAUAUUUAUAGUGAAUUUCGUGAUGUGGAUUAUUGUGUUUGCGGACCAAUCAUUCUCUGUAUGUUGUGAAAGCUUUGUUUAUCAUGGUGGGUUUUGUCAUUUAAAAACAUAUACAAUGUCAACCAACCAAUUUUACAAUAUCAUAAAACACAAGUAAUAGUAUUACUGCAGUUGGAAAUUGAUAUUGCAUACAUAUAUAAAGCAAGAAACAACAUGCUCAAUCAGCCACAAGUGAAGAAACAACUUGCUGAUACAUAACCACAUGACAUGAAAAUUUCAUGCAAAUAACUAGUAAUUAUAAUGGAGUCACACUAGAAGCUGCUGCAAAAUGAGUUGGUGUCCAGAACUCUUAUUUCUAGCAAGCAACUGGCUCUCUCUCAUUUAUUCUAACUCACUAGUUGAGAUGGACAGGUGGAGUUCAGGGCUUCUGGGGUGGAUUGUAGUAUGGGGGAGGCUUCUUCUUAUAUGGAGUUGGAGGAGGAGGAGGUUUCUUCCCUUCUGGCUUUUGUGGGGGUAGAGGAGCCUUGAUUGGAGGAGGGUGUUUAGGGUAACUAGGUGUGAUUGGUUUCACAACAGGAGGUAGAGUUGGUGUCUUAGGAUAAGGUGGUGGAAGUGGCUUGGUCACCGGCGUAGGUGGCGGUGAAUGUACAAUAGGAGGCUGAGUGCUUGGUGGUUUGCCAUAAGGUGAGGAUGGUGGUGGCCUCACCACUCUAGGAGGCAGAGUUGGUGGUUUGGGUUUGGGCACUAUUGGUGGUGAUGGCUUGUUAUAAACUGGGGGUGAUGGCUUCUUGAUGGGAGCUGGGGGCUUGUAAAUAGGAGAAGGAGUUGGUGGUUUGGGUUUGGGCACUAUUGGUGGUGAUGGCUUCUUGAUGGGAGCUGGGGGCUUGUAAAUAGGAGAAGGAGUGGGUGGCUUGGGUUUUUCAUUGUACUCAGCUAGAGAUGAAGUGAUGAGAACCACCAGGCCAAACAAUAGCACAAGCAACUUUGAGUAACUCAUGGUGUUUGUGUUUUUGUGAUGGUAUAAGAUCUAGACGGCAUCGUUUGCUAUUUAUAGUGCUCUCAGGCCUGUGUCGGCAAUACGUGUCAAAAGAUCUUGGUCAUUUUGUUUCAUAGUUAACAGUCAAGGAUUUUCAAAUUCAUGAGAAGAAAAGUACGAUUUUUUUGGCUGAAUAAAAGUUUAGAAGAGGGGAGGCUACACCAUCUUAGAGUUAGGACAUAUCAAAGUUUUCUUGAGGAUUUACAGAGGGGGUUUUAGUCUUUUUUUUUUGUUUUUACAGAUUAUCCCCCAAAAAGAAUUUUCGGCAACAGAACCCGAAUCUAAGUCUUGAUAGCAAAGAGAAUGAUCCUUAUCAACUCAACCAACCCUCGUUGACAGAGAAGUAAGAUUUUCAAUUGGUACGGAUGAUUGUUGAUAUAAGUGUUGUUGAUAGAGAAUCCCAAGUAUAAAUGGUAAAUUCUCUUAAUCAUUUGAGCAACAAAUUCUUUAUAAGUAAUUUGACUGAUUGAUUAUUGAUUGCAAUAAUGGUAAGUGUAAAUAAAAAUUGAGUAGUAUUUAAUGGAAAAUGACAUGACAGUAUUUUACUAGUUGAAAAUAGAACCAAGUUGUCGGUGUAGAUAAAAACAAAUGAUUCAGUCUUCCAAAAUGUGGAGAUUUGAAUUUGUGUUCGUCUAGCAUUAAUCUUUUAAAAAGAUUUUGGAUUUUUAUGUGAAUUUAAGUUAAUUUGAGUCUACAUUAUGCGUUCCAUGGUCUAUAUAAUUUAGACUGGUUUAAUUUUCCACAUUGAAUGACUUUUGUAUGUGGACUUUUCCCCCCAUCUUUCUUUAUUAUUGUCCUCUCCUCCGUUGUCGUUAGUUUUGUCACUUAUCAUCCUUGUGGUGUGAUGAUAAUUGGAAACGAGUGUUUCUAUUCUCGUUUCCCAAGCUAUGUUAUUAAAAUCUAACAUGAUUUGCAAAGGAUUCAUUAGGGUAGUAAUUUGGAGUAUUUAUUUCCUCAGGUAAGUUCUGGGUUCGAGUCGUAGUAUCUGUGUAGUGUGUGAGAGUUUAGCAUGCUAUUGCCCCUCUCAAUAGGAAAGGUCCUAAAAAAAAUCUAACAUGGUUUAUAUUGGUAUCAGGACUCUUCCAAUGGGACUACUGAGGGAACUGAGGCCAAGCCAUUGAUAUGUCAGCUUAGCGUUAAUGAAGAAAUAAAUAUAUUUGCUAACCAAGGUGGUAUGGGACUAGUGUGUAAGUAAAUGCCUUCUUCAUUGGGCUAGACUCUGUUAGCAUUAGGCAUUAAAACUUAAUAUCUCUUCCAACGGUGAAAAAAGAUGUAUCACUGAAUCACUAUAGGUACGGUAUUAUUUCACUUUCAUCUUUUACUAUCUAUUUUCAACGUACUAUAUCACUAUUGGAACAAUGCAAAAUUUCUGGAAUCAAUUAGGGAACAAAGGUGUGAAUAUUAUAUCUCCGUUCCCUUUUGUAAUAAAAUAUGUAUAGAGUUGAGCAAUGGUCACAAAAUUCGUUGCUUUCCAAUAGAUUGCUAUUUCAUUUCUGGUUAAAUCGUCUUGUAGUGGAAAAAACUGAGUCUUCAGCAGCCGCGUUUCUUGAUUUCUCUCAUGGAUUUGGUGAAUUUGAUGGCUGCUUGCGGACCAAUUAGCCGAAGGACAUGUGCUCUCUAUCUAACCCCGUCAUAGUCUGUAUAGCUCUACCUAAAAGGUAAAAAUCAGAGAAAGGAGAGAUCGGACUUGCGACCAAAUAUAUAGUGAGACACAUUACAAGAUUCUUGAAAGAUCUUGAGCCUCUCGAUCUAAAUUGGUUUUGAUUUGGAUGUUCAUAUUUUAUAUUCUAUAUAUAUAUAAUAACGUAAUAUAUUUACUAAUCUUGUUUUUACAGAAAAUUGUUAAGGAUUAUUGCAAAACGAAAGUGUAUUUGUUUAUUUGUUUGGGUUAUUCCCACAAUGUUCAUCCCACCGCCGCGUAUUUUGCUUUCUCUAUAGUGGUUAGGUCCAUUCACGUCAAUAUUAUAUUCAAUCUAAUUUUAGCUUUCAAUUACCAGUGUCCACUCGGUUUUCUUGACGUUUUGAUGUCAUGUAUUGGACCCGAAUAUCGGAUAUCAUCUGUCUCUUCCGCUGAUGAAGGGAUAAAUGCCAUCGAAUCAGAAGAUCUUACUUUUCCAAGGGGGCUUUUCUCUUGUCUCCUCCCAAUCUUCGUCGACUAAGAUCUUACUUUUCUUUUUCUUCUUUUAUAUUUCUACCUUCUUAAUCACUGUACGAAGGGAGAAUUUAUCAAAAAUAGCUAAAAUUUGACUCUUAAUUUCAAAAAUGUUAAUUUUUGUAAAAAUUUCAAUAUAACAGAAAACUCACUUAAAUAGAUACAAAUGUCCUUAAAUUUAAAACUUACAUAAACCUAAAAAAGAAACCUUAUUAAAUAAAACUUUGAAAUAUUUCCUCCAAACACUUUUCCAAUCACCUCUAUUUCUUUUUCUCUUUUUUUUUCCUUCUUCCGUUUGUCUCCAGCAUCACUCCCUCUCUUUUCCUUUUUUUUUUUCUUUCUUCUUCUCUCCACAUAUAUAUAUAUAUAUAUAUAUAUAUAUCUAUCUAUCUAUCUCUCUCUCUCUAUCUCUCUCUCUCUCUCUCUCUCUCUCUCUCUGUGCAUAUCUCUAUUCUUCUUCUCUCCCAUUUUCUCCAAAUAAAAUGUAUGUAUUUAUUUGGCAAAAAAAAAAGUAUUUAGAACCAAAAAUUCAGAAAAUGAUUGAAUCAAUGCACAAGUAUAAUUUCCUCCUCUCACCCAAAAAAAAAUAUUUAUUUCACAUAACUUUAAUUCUUCAAAAACUGUCACAAAUUUAGAGGUAGUCUGUAGAACAAAAAAUUCAAUAAAACGAUCUACAUUAAAAAAAUAUAUAAUUAAAUAUUCAUUCAUUACAAUUCAUAAAGUUAAAGAGAAAAAUAUUACACCAGUCCGUCUAUGAGGUAGGAUGAAGUGCAAUUGAAUUCUUGGAAGUUUGUCAAUAAUGGCCAAUUGAACCACAUCUUGAACACUUACGAGUUGAUGGUUCUUCUCCUCGUGAUGGGAUUCUCUUUUCCUCAAGCCUGCCGUGCCUUCUUCGUGUAAUUGGUGGUAGCACAAUUCUAUCUCGUACAUCAUCAAGCACCACCCAAUCUGUUUGAUCCCCAACUAGCCAUAUAGAUUCUGCAUCCGCAAUUACCAAUGAGUUUGUAGUAUAAUAUUUUGAACACAUUGGGUAGCACGAAAUUUGUCAAUGCGUACAUGCAGCACAAGCAUCUUCUGCUACACAUAUGUCAGAAUCAUCAUAUUACUAGACUCAAUAAUUUUCCAAGCCUAUCAGCACUAACCUUUGAUGCAGGCUCAAAGUGAAUUGACGAUAUUAAAUCAUAGCACUUUGAAUAGGGCUCAAGAGUCCAUUAACAGAAAUGUCGCAACUAUGGACAUUAAGUUAGCAAAACCAGAAUUGAAAUUUUAUAAAUAUAGUAUGAAGAAUAAACGAAGAAACGAAGUAACGAAGAAGAAAUUGAACGAAGAACCAAAGAAGAACAGCACUCUACGUACAAAGAUUCUCAAUCUAAUAGGGUUUUGUUUUUUAGGUUUAUGUUGGUUUUAAAUUUAAGGGUAUUUGUGUCUAUUUAGGUGAGUUUUCUUCUAUAUUUGAAAUUUUUUAUAAAAACUAACAUUUUUGAAAUUAGGGGUCAAGUUUUGGCUAUUUUUGAUAAAUUCUCAUACGAAGGAUUAUCUUUUAGGUGUGAACCUUAAAACACCAUUGGAUGAGAUUUAUGAUUCGUGUAGGAAAAAAAAAUCAAAGGAAGAAUGAGGAGAGCGAUGUUGAAGAAUAUUGAAGUCCCACAUCAGAAACUUAACAAAAUAAUCAAAUACUCCAUAUAAUGAAUGAUUCCACUAUUAAUAAUAUCGAGACUUUUUGUAUAAAAUUUCACAACUGCUAAACAAAUGGUUAAAUUAAAGACAAUAUUGAUAUUAUUAGUAGUGGGUCAUGAGUCCCGAAUAAUUCAAGGGUCAUGAGUCCCGAAUAAUUCAAGGGGAUGGUUUGAAAAAUUCAAUCUAAUUCUGGCUUUCAAUUACUAGUAUCCACUCGUUUUUCCUGAUGUUUUGAUGUCAUGUACUGUUUGAUUUUCAAACUAAUUAUGGGAUGGUUUGAAAAAUCAAACUAAUUAUGGGAUGGUUUGAAAAAUCAAACUUAGAGAAAGCAACCCUUACUGCCUAGAAAAAGAAAAAGGUUAGCCGGCCCUAACUUCUCGUUAAGGAUAAAAAUUUGAACCGGCAAAUCAGUGAACCGGAACCGAAUCUGCAUGAACUGGCUAUAUUUAUAUCUAGUUUUUAAUUUAUUUUUACAGAUGUCUUGUUCUCAUUGUUUUUUUUUUUUGACCUUUCCUAUUGAAAGGGGCGAUAACAUAUUAAACUCACACACACAACACGGAUGUCUUGUUAUCAUUGUUGAUUCUAUACAAUUAGUACAAAGUAAUUUAACAAACAAAGCAAUUUUCUAAAACGGUCCUCCUUUUUUCUCCUUCUAUGGUUUGGUCCUCCUAAUCUAUUCACGGCAAUACUUUGGGCACUGAGGUGAUUGAGCAUAGCCAUUGACAAUAAUACAAUUUAAAGUCUUAAACUCUAUACUUAGCUUAGGGUUAAGUAUUCCAUUAGUGGCAGAAUGUUAAGGCUAAAUAUACGCUAUCUUAAAAAGUCAACCACAAUUAUAUAUGUAACGCACUAUAAAUAUAAAAUGGGGUUAAUGACCUAAAUGGUCUUUCAACUAUUGCUCCAUUAUCAUUUUGGUCCACCAACUAAAAUUUUCAAUUCAAACGUCCUCAAACUUUUUAUUUUGUACCAAGAUGGUCCAUCCGUGACAGAUUCUGUUACUUCUGAUCACGCGAUGGCCACGUGACUGAGUUUUGAAGGGUAUAUGCAACUUUUUGAGAAGCUUUAUCGAAGGGUAUCACUAAAAUGGUCCAUCAACUGUUGCUUCAGUAUCAUUUUGGUCCACCAACUAAAAUUUUCAUUUGAACUGUCCUUCUACUUCUUUUUUUUUUCUUUUUUUUUUGUUAUCAAGAUGGUCCUACUAUCAAAGUCCAUCAAUUUUAUUGUUAUUUAAUUUUGUAUUUAUCUUAUUUUAAAAUUUUUAAUUAAUUUAAACAAUAGAGAAAUAAAUAUUACUUUUUAAGUCCAUGUCAUAAAAUAAAAAAAGCCAUGUUGGUGGUGAGAUUCAAUUUUUUCAAUUUUAAAAUUAGGUACAAGUUCCUAUAAUAGUUUCCUUUAAUUUUAAUUAUUAUUUUCUCUUUUAAAAAAUUUGUUAUUAUAUAUAUGUGAUUUUAAUUAAUUUAAACAAUAGAGAUUUUAUUAUUAAUUGUUAGGUCAGUGUCAUAAAAAAAAAAAAGCCAUGUGGCUAGUGAGAUUCAAAUUUUUAAAAUUUUUUAAGUUUUAUAAUAGUUUCCUUGAUACCAAAAAAAAAAAAAAGAGUUGAAGGAUGGUUCAAAUGAAAAUUUUAGUUGGUGGACUAAAAUGAUACUAGAGCAAUAGUUGGGGGACCAUUGUGAUCAAUAACCCUUUUAGAAGAGGAUACUCACCUAAAAAUACGGUUUUGUCCCUCGAUUUCACGGAAUAAUACACAGACUUUGACAGAUGGACCAUCUUGGUACAAAAUAAAAAGUUUAAGGACGUUUGAAUUGAAAAUUUUAGUUGGUGGACCAAAAUGAUAAUGGGAGCAAUAGUUGGGGGGACCAUUUAGGGUCAUUAACCCAUAUAAAAUCGUUAAGGGUAAUGUUAUACUAGAUCCCGAGUCUAUGCAUUUAGAGUCCACGCAUUUACCCGUAUUUGACUUCAUAUCAACCAUUACAAAGAUCCAACGACUUAAAAUAUGAUAGAUCAUUAUUACAUCAUAAAGUUUUAUUUUUCUAACUGACGUUACUGUUACCAUUUCCUCAAAGCCUUUCUCCCUUGCUUGUUCUCUUCCCUCUCUAAUCUCUCUCAAUUUUUGCUUCUCAUGAAUAUCUACUACCCAGCAUCAUAAAUUGAAUUUCCUAUUUUUAGUACAAUUUCAAUCAAUUCCCCCAUUGCCAAUUGGUUUUGGAGUGUAACCUCAACUUCCUUCACUUAUGUCCUCAGGCUCUCUCCAGUUUGUAUUGUUUGCUUUUUGGGUUUUGUGUAGGUGAAGGAAGUUGAUAAUUGAGUCUGAGAGCGUUUAUGGUGGCGAGAAAGCUUUGUUUCAAUGGAUGUUCUUUUUUUGCAAUGUCUGUUGAUUUGGCUUCCUCGUUUUUAGAGAGACAGAGUUAAUGGAAGGACUAAUGUUAGUUUAGGGAAGAAAAAAAAAACUAAAUUUCAUAACCGACACGUGGUAUAAAAUGUAGAGAUGCCAUAUUAUGUGAUAUAAAAAUGUGGUAAGACUAAUAUUAUUGUAACCGUAAUCAUAUGAUUCAAACUUGAAACCUCAUUCAACUAAGUGAAGACAACUACCCAAAAAAUCAUAAACUAAUUGACAUAAAAACUAUUUAUUAUAAACAAAUUUUGAAUCCAUAUUUUCUGUUAAAUAUAGAUGUAGGACUAGGGUUAAGUAUUAAGUUGGAUGAUAUUUUUGUCUUUUUACUAUAAUUAUUCUCUCUGCUGCUACGGGAUGGGUUAAGGCCUCCCUUGCUGCUGUGAUUAAGGUGGAUAAGGUGCAUUCUUUUAUCUAUUGGAAACCUCCUCGCCCUGCUCAGUUUAAACUUAAUGUUGAUGGGUCUAGAUGCACUUCCUCUGGAUGUAUUGGGGCUGGGGUUGUGAUUCGUGAUGCUUAUGGGGGCGGAUUGGUGGUUUUUCAGUGCACCUUGGCCACAGACAUAUCUUGGAUGCUGAAAUUUGGGGGUUAUAUUUUGGCCUUAAGCUUGCUGUGACUAAGGGUAUAAGCUGCCUUAUUAUUGAAAUGGAUGCUGCUGUGGUUGCCCAACUAGUCAAGAAUAUUGAUGGUCUGGCUCACCACCCCUUUGCUUUACUGAUUAAUGUUUGCUGUGCUCUCAUGCAACAAUUUGCAAAUAGUUGCACUCUCCUUCAUAUUUACAGAGAAGGAAAUUGUGUGGCUGACGGUUUGGCAAAUUGGAGUUACAACUUAGACCUGGGUAUCCUUUAUUUUAAUGAAGCUCCAAAUGUGUCAUAUCUUAAUUCAUUAGAUUAUUAGAACGAUGGGUAAAUGCACACUAUCUAAAUGCAGAGGCUCAGAAUCCGCCUAGUUUAAACUUUUAAGCUAUUUAUAUAUAUAUAUAUAUUUUAUAGAGAUGGACCAAUCAUAUUGAAUUAAAAAAUAACUAUAGUAUUUAUGAUUCCCUAAACUAUGGAGUAUGAUUAGAGUUCAAAUUUGGUAGAGAACUCCUAAAAUAACUUUUAUGUGUUUUUAGCUAAAUUUUAGACACACAAAACUGACCACAUUAGCCGACCACCUUAUGUGGCAGCUGAUGUGGUCAUGCCAUAUUUUUAUCUCACAUUUCCAUACCACAUAAUGUGGCAUGUCCAUAUCAUAUGCCACAUCAAUUAAAUCAAUAGAGUGUAUUUUAAUUAAGACAAUUAGAAAAAAAAAUACUGGAAUAAAUCAUAAAAGAAAAGAAAAUAUUAAAUACUUUUAAUUGAUGUGGUUAUCCACCUCAGCUGCCACAUAAGAUGGUAUAAGGAUGUAGUAUACAAAUAUAGUAAGAGUAGCAUUAUUCUUUCAAUAUAGUAAUCAUCGUUUAGAGAAAGAGUAAGGCUACACUUACUAUAUUUUUAUACCACAAUCCUAUACUAUAUGAUGUGGCAAUCCACAUAAUUAAGCUGACACGUUAAUAAAUUGUGAUAAAAGGUAUUUAAUAUAUUAUUAAUAAUAAUAAUUAAUAUAAUAUAUUAUUAAUUCAACAAACAAUUUAGGGUUAAGUCUUUAUUUAUUUAUUUAGUUCGCAUAAUAGGGUUAAGCCUUUUAUUGAUGUUCUAUUAUGUUCGUCUCUUUCUCUUGCCAGUUUUUUGGUCGGCUUGUUAAUAAAUCACCUACUGUUUUUUUUUUUUUUUAAAAGAAAAAGAUUUCAUUCAUAAGCCAAAACGGCAUACAAAGACUGACAUUAAUUCAUUAGCCUCAUUAAUACCUUCAUAGGAAAACCACUUAGGAUAAACCCCAAGGUAGGAAAGAGUACCACCUAUGUCAAUGACUAACAAGAGAGUUUGACCCAGACCACAAAAGACAGUUACAAGAACAGAAAAAAAAAUCCAACUAAACACCAACAGAGUGGACUCAACUGUCAAAAGAAGCCUUCUAUGAAAAAAACUCUUAGUCCUUUGACUGCCCAUGAACUGCAAAAACACACCAAGGAUAGAAACCCAAGAGAGCAUACGGAGGAAGAGCACAAAAAAAUAACAAGAGAGGCCCUGAAAAGCACCCCAACUCAACUUAGAACCUGACAAAGAAACUUCUAUGACCAAACAUAGGUCUUCGGGCAGCGCAGAGCAGAGACGAGCUGCAAAGGAGCAACAUAACAAUGGAAAAUGACAGCAAAACAGAACACAUCCCAACAACUACCAUCAGUGUCUGUCGCUGCCAUCAAAACAUAGACAAAACAUUAGCCACCAGGUAUCACAACGCUCCCGAAAAAAGAUCAAAUCCAGCGUCACUACUGCUGCCGUCAUCGAGACAGAGACAACACCAGCCACUUACACCACUGCAAAAACAACUAAAUAAAACAAACAGACCUAGAUCCAAACAUAUCAAGGCUAAAAACCCAAGAUCUAAUUAGAUUUGGGAGGAGAAGAGGAAGGGGAUAGAAGGGCCAGCAAGAGCCCCUAGGAAAGUGGGAAGAGAGGGAGAGAGGAGGAAAUGGAGGGAAAAAGAUGGGAAAAGAGGAGAUGAAGGGAGAUGAUGGGCAGUGGCCACCUCCCAUAGCUUAGGAAAGGGUGGUUGUCGGCAAGGAGAAAGAGGGAGGGUUUUGGCUAGGGUUUACUUUGCUAUCUCUUUUGCGUAGCAAUAAAUCACCUACCGUAGGAGUUGCAUAAAAUCCGAUUGCAAAUCCUAGAACUCCCAAAAUCAGAUCGAAUCGUGGCUUAAUUAGCAUCUAUAUGGUCAUAAACAGAUGAAAUCAUGGGUAUUGAAAAAUGAUAAUGAUAUAUCAAAUCUCCUAAAAUCAUCCUUGUCGGUAGAGAAGUUUCAGCGUUGUUCAACAAUUGAAGAUGAGGGUAACACAUUUAAUUCAUUAAUGAUAAGAGCAUUUUAAUACAUAUAACUUGUCUUCCCUAAAAUUACUCUUGCUAGCAUUUUAUUUAGCUUACUUUGCAUUAAUUAUGUUGUUUUUGUCAAUUGGGGUGUUUUGGAAGAUUUCAAUAAAAAAAUAAGGAUAUUUUAGUGCUUAUUAUUCUUGAAUUUGCACAUGGCAGCAACUUUGGGGAGCCAGCAGCUAGAGGAAAUCAUUCAUGUGUGCAGCGAAUGAAAGGCAAUAGGAAUUAAAAAAGAUGGCAAGACUUGCUACACCUUCUGACCAAGGAAGAAAACCCACGUGCGCGAGCAGCCAAAGCCAAAGUAAUGUGUGCAGCAACAAAUGAAAAAGAAAAGGAAAAAGUAUAAAGAAUGAUGUUGGCUGACAAAAGAUAUGAAAUUCAAAUGCCAAUAUGCCUACACGUGAUGAGCAGAGAAAGAUGAAGAAAAGAAAGAGGAAUGGCAGCAGCAAGUUGAAGACCAAUUGGAAGACAUAUGAUGUACAGCAGCCAAAAGAAGAAUGAAAAUGAAAAUAAUGAGAAAGAAUGUUGAGCUGCAGCUUACACGUGAAGAAAGCAAAGGAAAGCAUGGGUAUUUGUGUUCAGCCAAAAGAAGAAGGAAUAAAGCGAUGUUGAUGUAAUAUAACCCACGUUGGUGAUGGGUUAAUGGCAGCUGCAAGAGGAUCUCAUUCCUCUAUAAAUACAGAGCAAUGCAAUGGAAGAGGUGUGCAGAAUUUGGGCACCAAAUAGAGAUAGUGUAGUCCAGUGGAGAAAAGACCCUGGGGAGCAGAGAGGCAAGAAACCAGGGGCAUCUGCCAUUUUAGUUUUUCUUUUUUAAGUUUUCAGCUAGUUUAUAGGGAUAAGGAAAAUGCCAAUAUAAUUGGAGAGAACCUUGGGGAGUCGUGAGGCAACGAUCCAAGGGAUUGAUGAUGCAGUUUCUCCUUCUCUUCCAUGUUUUAGUUUUAUUUCUUCUUUGAGUUUUCAUAUUGUUUUUAUUUUCACUUAUAUCUAGCUAAACUCCUUUAUUAAGGUUGAGGGGGAAACACCAUUAUGAAAUAAAGUUUUAGUUUUUAUUUUUCAAUUCCCAACUAUUAUAUUCUUCAAUGUUUAUAAUUUCACUUCACAUGAUUAAUAAAUUAAUUUUCUUUUCACCACUUCGAUCGUGUAUUUGUGGUAGUUCAGAAUUUAAGUUAAUCUAUUAAUGCAUCCUUGAUUUUGUAUUACUAGUAUACACAUAUCUUCGAUCAUUUGUAGUUAAAUAAUAUUUUUCACAUAGGAUGUUCAGAAUUUGUACUUAUGAAGGGAAGGGGAAUUUAUAUAAGAGAAUUUAUAUAAGAUUCAUUAAAAUGCAUGUUUAAUUGAUAUAUCUUGAGAAAGCAGUAAAUUGAUUCCUAGAUUGCUACUCCAGAGAAUUGUUAGAUAGAUAAUUAGAGUUUUAUAGAAUAAUGGCGUGUAAUCUAAAACCUUAGUUAUUUUUCUCAUUCAUUUAAUCCAUUCUAGUUAUUAUUUGCAUUUUUAAUUUUUAUGCUUUAUUUAAUUUUCUUUUCAACCAACAAAUCAACUUUGAAUCAACUAGGUUAGCGAUUGAAUUAAAUUGGGUUGGAUUAGUUUCCAUCAUUUUCACACAAGUAUUAUAAAUUUAAAACAACACAUUUGGGUGGACAACAAGUUUAAAGUAUUUAUAAAAUAAAGCAACAUUAUUUAUAGAGAACCAAUAUGAGUUCUUUCUCUUUUCUUGGAUUUAGGAGCUCCUAAAAGUCUCUCUAUUUUAGAAGGUGGAUAGGGAGCAUGAUUGAAGUUGUAUUUUUCAUAUUCCUCUUUAAAAUUUGUCUAAAGAUAAGGGGAACAAGAUUUGUUAUCCCCAAUUUUCAUGUCCCAUUGUGUUCCUUUUUUAAAAUUUUAACACCUGUCUAAAUAAUUGACAAAACUUUAACACUGUCAAGUUUUAUUCAAAAACCCUAAUAAAUAUAAACAUCGUAAUAGCUCUUCUUCUUCACUUUUAAUCUUCUCUUCACAGCCAAACAUAUCCAAAUUAUCUCAAGGAAGAACCACCACAUAGCUACCAAUGCGAAUCCCUUGUAACCAACCAAAAUCGUUCAUCUUUCCCAUAUGGGAUGAGAUUCAGAAGGUUCUUCAUAGCUUUGAAGUUGAUGACGGCGGAAGAAGACGUAAGCACCUUUGAAAUUGCAACAAAAGCAUACUGCAGAUUUUUCUUGCUAGAAGAUUUGAAAUUAAUGUUUUGUUUUUUGUUUUUUUUGUUUUUUUUUUCACAAAAGAUGGUAUUUCAUUCAACCGAAUUAUGGAAAUAUAUAGAAAAAGAAAAAUACAUUAAAUGUUCGGUAUUUUUUUGCUCAAUUAGUGAUUUUGAUUAAGAUUGAAAAGUAUUAUUUAGACAGGUGUCAAAAUUUUAGAGAAUAAGGAGCUCGCAUUUUCCUUACUUCAAGGCCCAACCUCACUAUUUCAUCUUUGAUCGACGAGUAAUUAUCUAUAUAUAUAUAAAGCAAAAGGUAGAGAAUGGUGAAACAUUUAAAUUACCAGAAAAUGUCCAUAGUUAAUGCAAAUAUUAAGAAUUGAAAUUAUUAAUUAAAUGAGAAUAAUAUGGUAAAUUCACAUUUUUCAUAUUAAAAAAAUUAAAAUUAAAAGAAAAAUCAGAUAAUGGAUCCUAUUUUUAUGAAACACAACUACCCAUUAUUUUUUUUAAUUCUAAAAUAAAUUUAAAUUUAUUGAAAAAAAACCUCUUGCAGGCGCGGAAGCGCUUGUGGAGAGGCUAGUAUUACAAUUAUUAACAUAAUCUAUACCACGUUCCACUAACUUUAUACCACGUCUUUUAAUUUGAUUUUUUCCUCUACUGAUUCAGUGUUACUGUAUAUUACAUAGACACAGUAUCAUUAAUAAUUUGACAAUAUUGUACCGAUAUUUGAUAUAUCGAUCAAAUGUCAAUAAUGUGGUACAAAAUAUUGUAAAUUGUUACCAAUUGGUACGAGUACACCAAUUUACAACACUUGAUACAAUGUUAUUGAUAUAAUUAACAUUGUACUAUGUCAACAAUAUUGUACAAAGUAUUUGCAUGGCGUAAUGUUAUUUGCUAAAGAUAUUUCAAAGAAGCUAACAAGGGCAUUGCUUUGUAAAUCAGUGAUCUCAAGUUCGAACCUUAUGGCACAUUUGUAGUAUGUGCGUGAGAACAGAACAUUUGUAGUAUAGUUGGUCAUCCAAAUAAAAUGAAACCAUAGUUAGCCCAGAUAACAAAACUAUUGUUAAGCACUAACAAAAAGCACCUCCAAACUCAAAUCUUUUCACAAAAGGCAAAAUGAGAACAAAAUCUACAUCAAAUAUUUCAAAAUCAACUUCUCAAACCAAAACAUAACUACAAAAGUGAAAAAAGAAUCUAAUCUAGAAAACACAUACCUCACCAGAUGAAAAACAGAGCUUUGCGUGAGAAGAAGGAAUAUGAGAGAGAGAGGGUGUCAUCAUAGAUGAAGCAAAUAAGGAAUAGGAGAGAGAGAUGGCAUCGUUAUGUCGUCGAUGGAGCGAAGAAGGAAGAUGAGAGAGAGGGCGUCGUCGUCGAUGAAGUUAAUAAGAAAAAUGAGAGAGAGAGAGAGAGAGAGAGAGAGAGAGAGAGAGAGGCUGAGAUCUGGUUUUAAACAAAAGGGUAAAAUUAUAUUCCACCUUUAUAAUUUAGACAGGUCCAAUGAAUAUGGGCCUCUUAUUUAGGCAUAUCCAAAACAAAAUUUGAUUCAUAGGUAUUAAAACCCAAACAAAAAUUUCUCAAAUCCUAAUUAGUAAAGAUUGUAAUGCCUAAUACCUAAUUUUUCUUAACUUUUAGGAUAAUGCUAUAUGGCACAUUUUUAAUACCAUCUCACCUGGCAGUUGAGGUCGACAUUCAACUCAUUUAAAUUAUAUGUAUAUAUUUUUUAAGAUAUCAGUUUCUUAUAAUUUUCAUUAAUUCAAAAACUUAACCCUGGAGACUUUUCAAUUUCAUGUUAUCUGUUGGCCUCCCUAAAUUCACUCUCUUCCUUUGCCGUCGAUUCGCCACAUCUUCUGUCACAUUCCGGGAUCGGCUCCGCCGUAGCAUGAUAUUGUCCUCUUUGGGCCCCCCUCUCUGCCCUAACGGUUUUGUUUCUGGCCCCAACUCGCUUAACUUCAGAGUUCCCAUGACUUCGAAGCCAGUGAGCUCCCAAAAGGCCUCGUGCUAGAUGAAGGUGGGCAUGUACAUAUAAGGCACAUCACCCCCUCUCCAUUGGUCGAUGUGGGAUGUUAUAAUCCACCCCCCUUAGAGGCCCGAUGUCCUCGUCGGCACACUAGCACCACACAGCAGAGUGACUCUGAUACCAAAUUGUCACAUCCCGGGAUCGACUCCAUCGUAUCACGAUAUCGUCCGCUUUGGGCCCCCCUCUCUGCCCUCACUGUUUUGUUUCUGGGAACUCACGAGCAACUUCCCAGUGGGUCACCCAUCCUGGGAUUGCUUUAGCCCCAACUCGCUUAACUUCGGAGUUCCCAUGAUUCCAAAGCCAGUGAGCUCCCAAAAGGCCUUGUGCUAGAUGGAGGUGGGCAUGUACAUAUAAGGCACAUCACCCCCUCUCCGUUGGUCAAUAUGGGAUGUUACAGCUCCACUCCCUCCACCUUUAAUUUUUUGUUAGUCCACCUUUGAGCUGAUGUCUAUAGUCUAUGGUCAAUGGUCAGUCCCGGCCCUGCCCAGGGGCAGUUAAUGCGACUGCCCAGGGCCCAUUAUUCAAGGGGGCCCCAAAUUUUUUUAAUUAUGAUAAGUGUUAUAUUAUAUUAUUAUAAAUUGAUUUAAUAUUUUUCCAUAAUUUUUAGGAAUAAGAUAUUGAGAUGAAUCUGAAAUUUUGGAACAAAGGAUCCAUGACGAGAGUUUUAAAAGAAAUUCUUUGAUAUUGGCUUGACUUGCAUUCUUGAAAUUCUUUGACUCACUGGUAUGGUAUCCAUAGUUGGACAUUUGUUUUCAUUAUUUAGGAAUAUGGAAGACAUUGCUCAAAGUCUAAAAGUAUUUUCAAAUAAAUACUUUCUCAAAAAACCCAAUGCUUAGUUGAUAAAACAAGAAGUAUACUAGUAUUAGUGAUUAAUGUGUAUAUGGCACACUUUAGAUUUUCGCCUUAGGCCUUUGAAAACUCAGGACCGGCCCUAUCAAUGGUAGGGUCAUAACACUGCUCCUUGCAUCACCAGCUCCGACCACCUCUAUUACCUCUCAUAGAAAGAUGGAUGAUGUUGAUCAUGAUAUGGGUCUUGAUCAAGCAGAUUUGUAGUUGUGAUAACAUGUGUACUGACCAAAAAGCCAAGGAGGAGAAAGCCUUGCAACGGCGAAGAGGCAAUGGAUCGGCUACAUAGGUCUGGCAGAGUGUCGCCGAUGGAGAGGAGAGGAAGUAGGGAGAGAUGGAAUUGGGGGAGGUCGACAAACAACGUGAAAACUAAAGAGUCUCUAAUCCAGUAGGGUUAGUUUUUUUAAUUAAUGAAAAUAAUAAGAAAUUGAUAUGUCAAAAAAAAAAAACUAAUAUAAUUUUAAUGAGACUACUACAAAAAUUGAAAUAGACGACGGUGUCUUUGAAAACCGUUUUUAAUUCGACCACAAUCUUUUGGAAUGUCAAACUACGACGGUGAUUAACCGUCGUCUAUUAUUUGUAAAGACGACAUUUUUACUCAAAACUGUCGUCUAUUAAAGACAACGGUUUGUCUAAUAGAACCGUUGUUUAUUAUAUCGAAAGACGUCGGAUUUACUGUCGUCUAUUAAUUGAAAAGACGACAAUUUCUUUAAAUAUUGUCAUCUAUUAACUCUAAGACGACUGUUAUUAAUUGUAAAACUGACGUAGUAAUUUUAAAUUUUAGCUUCUUUUUUUCUUGUUUCCAAUGGUAUCAGAAAUCUAUACUCAAAUAUGCUAUUACCACACCAGACAUAUAUAUAUAUAUAUACUCAAAAAUUGUUUCUUUCAUAAAUAGUAUAUCAAGAGAACAAUAGAACAAAAUAAAAUCUAAAAAAUGAAAGCACUCUAGGGUCGCUAGUUGCUAGCUGCAAGCUACAAGCCUAAUUACAAUAAUACACAAAAAUUCAUAUACCUAAUUAUCCUUUAAGUCAAGUUCUCCAUGUGUAUAUAGAGCAAUACACUCAUCAUCACCAAUUUUCCUCUGCAUUCUAUCUGAACUUCAUCACUUUGUUCUUGGGUGUGUGAGUUAUCUACCUUCUUGCACAUUUUUUCAUAGGCACAAUAAGACACAAGCUUGUACAAAAAAUUAGUGAUUUUACAGCAAGAAAAUAGUUAGGUCUUCGCUCGAAGUGAAAGCCAAUAAAAACAAAACAUUACACCAAUAAAUAAAUGAGGGCCUAUAUAGCAUAAAACAUGGUUAACAUAACUAAUUUAUUAUUAUUAUUAUUAUUUUGAAAAAGAUGCUUUGUUUAAAAAUAAUAAGCACCACAAAAGUGUACAAAAGAUAGUAUUGAAAUAAUUAAUAUUAUCUAAAAUUUAAGCAUGAGAAAAAAGAAUAAAGGGAAACAACAAGAAAAAAAAAAGAAAAAAAAGAAAGAAGAGAAAGCCUGAACACCCCCCUUAGUUCUGCCCAUCAAAGAAAAGAAAACUAUAUAUUCAUUAUUCAUACCUUGUUUACCGACUACAAUUUCUUUUUGUUGGAUCAUAUGUUUACCGACUAUAUUGUAGACCGCUUUUGUAAUAGUACGAGAUGGUAUCAAAAGUAAGCAUGCAUGCAUAUGUCCUGAUUAUUUUAUGUUGUCCAACAUGUAGCACUGGAUGACGGCAAGAAAUCAUAAACAUUAAAUUAACCUACUCUUGGCAAAAGCUAUAACAGUAUAAACGAAAGUAUAUUUGUAUCAGAUUCUUUUCAGCGUACACAACACAGAUUUUGUGUUCGUCAGUCCACAGCUCUUGCUUGAUUCUAGUGUCUAGUGUGCUGAGUGGAAAGAUGCACAGCUAGUUUAACUUGUUGUCCACCCAAAUGUGUUGUUUUAAAUUUAUAAUACUCGCAAGCAUACAAAUCGACUGUAGAAUAGGCGUGUAUAAGUGUGACAGGAAGUGUGUGAAAAUGAUGGAAAACUAAUCCAACCCAAGUUAAUUCAAUUACUAACCUAGUUGAUUCAAAGUUGAUUUGUUGGUUGAAAAGAAAAUUAAAUAAAGCACAAAAAUUGAAAAUACAAAUAAACUAGAAUAGGGAUUAGAUGAAUGAGAAAAAUAACUAAGGUUUUAGAUUUCACACCAUUAUUUCAUAAAACUCUAAUUAUUUAUCUAACAAUUCCCAUGGAGUAACAAUCUAGAAAUCAUGUUAUUGAUAUAAUUGAAAAUUUUACUCUAUCAAUAAUAUUGUACAAAGUAUUUGCGCGGUGUCAUGUUAUUUGCUAAAGAUAUUUCGAAGAAGCUAAUAAGGGCAUUGCUUUGUAAAUCAGUGAUCUCAAGUUCGAAUCUCAUGGCACAUUUGUAGUAUGUGCGUGAGAAAUCCUGUCUUUCUUGUAAUUUAGACUAUCGCUUAAUUGUAUUUGAAAAACUUAGAUAUUUUGAAGAAAAUAGAACAUAAAUUAAAAGGGGAAGAAAAGCGUAGUUUAUAUAUAAUAACAACACAAAUGACACCGGAUGCUUUACAUGAGAAGAGCACAUUACUACUGCUAUAGUCGAAACCGAUCCGUACAUCACAGUGACAUUACAAGAAAUUAAACACACAUAACACAUCUCUUAUUCUACGUAAUGACAUGAACUUAGCAAGCUAGUCAUUCAUGCAUGCAUGAUCAGAGCUAGUCAUUCAUGCAUGCAUGAUCAGUUUCAGUUGGGAAAUGGAAGUUUGUGAGGUGGCUUGACAGGGCCAGUUGGGGGCUUUAGUUUCCUCGGUGGCUUUGAUGGGUCUCUUCCACCCUCCACCACAUUCUGUUCAAGAUGGCGAUCGUGAUGAGGUGGCUUGUCUCCCUUGCCCUUAGGAGGCUGAUCAACUGGCUUGGGCUCUGGCUUGGGCUCUGGGAAUGGCUUGUGCUCAUCAAGUGGGGUUGGUGGCUUGGGUUUUGUGGGUGGCUUCGGCUUCUUUCCCUGAGGAGGCAAUUUCCCAUCCAAUGGCUCCUCUAGCAAACGAGUUCUGGUUUCUUGUUUGUGAUGAGGCGGUUUCUCACCCUUUGGAGGCUGAUCAACUGGCUUUGGUUCUGGCUUGGGCUCUGGCUUGGGCUCUGGGAAUGGCUUGUGCUCAUCAAGUGGGGUUGGUGGCUUGGGUUUUGUGGGUGGCUCCGGCUUCUUUCCCUGAGGAGGCAAUUUCCCAUCCAAUGGCUCCUCUAGCAAACGAGUUCUGGUUUCUUGUAUGUGAUGAGGCGGCUUCUCACCCUUUGGAGGCUGAUCAACUGGCUUUGGUUCUGGCUUGGGCUCGGGCUUGGGCUCUGGCUUGGGCUCUGGGAAUGGCUUGUGCUCAUCAAGUGGGGUUGGUGGCUUGGGUUUUGUGGGUGGCUUCGGCUUCUUUCCCUGAGGAGGCAAUUUCCCAUCCAAUGGCUCCUCUAGCAAACGAGUUCUGGUUUCUUGUUUGUGAUGAGGCGGCUUCUCACCCUUUGGAGGCUCGUCGUUGCCCGGGUUUCCUUUGUGCUCUGGUGGUGGCUUCUCUCCUUUUCUUGGUGGCUCAUCUCUUGGGUGUCCUGGUUCAUGCUCAGGUGGUGGUUUCUCUCCUUUUCUCGGUGGCUCAUCUCCCGGGUGCUCAGGUGGUGGCUUCUCAUCCUUGUGAGGCUCAUCACCUGGUUUCUCCUUUGGUGGUGGCUUUUGUCCCUUAGGAGGCUCAUUGUUCUCUGGUGGAGGCUUUUUUCCCUUUGGAGGCUCAUUGUUCUCUGGUGGAGGCUUCUUUCCCUUUGGAGGCUGGUCAUUGCGCUCUGGUGGUGGCUUUUGUACCUGGGGAGGCUGGUCAUUGCGCUCUGGAGGUGGCUUUUCUCCCUUGGGAAAUUGGCCCUCCACCUCUAACAAAUGGUGUUCGUUGUGGGGUGGCUUGUCAACUGGUGGAGGCUUGUAAAUUGGGGGUACGGAAAUUGGAGGCUUGUAGAUUUGUGGCUUUGGGUCAUGGUUAUCAGCAAGAGAAGGAGUU
This 81798-nucleotide long non-coding RNA is filed under the name Prunus persica (peach). RNAcentral's name for it is "long non-coding RNA (PPER_LNC000100)". The stretch from base 31451 to 31557 matches the Rfam family "MIR6274 microRNA precursor family". Lineage: Eukaryota; Viridiplantae; Streptophyta; Magnoliopsida; Rosales; Rosaceae. The record is from RNAcentral.